CACACCAGAAGAGUUACAACCAGACCCUCUUAUUAUACCAUGUUUGUUACAAUGAGGGAAUUGAACAUCAUGAAUCGUCAUUCAAGCAAGGAAAUCAAAGGUUGACAGCUUAUUCUGUUUCUAUAUUUCCCCACUAGAAUCGUGCUUGAAGGUAUUCAACCACCCUCUUGUCCAACUGGAAGGCCCUUGCCAGGAAAUCAGGAUUGAUGGGUGGAUUUGAUCCAAACAUUGAACUGGCUAUGGUGACUAUACCUGGAUUUUGGCUGUUAAAAGCGGCAAUGGCUACUGCAUUAGUGUGCCCAAUGUUGACUUGGAAGUGAAUGAGACUGAAAGGGAACACAAAAACAUCCCCCUUGUUCAGGACUUUGCUAACGAAGCGGUGUUCAGGGUUGGAUGUGAUAAAGCCAACAAAGAGUGUUCCCUCCAAGACAACGAGGAUCUCACUGGCACGAGGGUGAAAGUGAGGAGGGUUUUGACCAUUAGGUUCAUAAUCGAUACGAGCCACUGACACCCCAAGAGCGUUUUCUCCUGGUAAUUGAUCAACAUUUAUAAGAUUGACAAUUGAGCCCACAUAAUUUGAUGUGUUUCCUGGAAUAUUCAGCCCUUGAUACAAGAAAUCCUCGGCCACGGUCAGGUUUGGGUUCUUGCAGAACUUCCCAUUUACAAAUACUGCAUGAAGAAGGAAAAAAGAAAAGAUAUAUCAUUAGUAUCGAACCAUACUCACCAUAUCAAUAAAAAGAGAAGUACUGAAAAUAGCUAUAAGAUCAUUGGUUACUAUAGAAAUACCAGCAUUCUUGGGCUCAUCAACGGCAACACAGGUGUCUUCCAGUGGGCUUGGAUCAUAGGCAGAGGCAAGAAAGGAAGCCAAUGCCAUGAAGGCCACGGUUACCAGGAAACUAACGCUUUUCUUCAUUGUUAGAGUACUGUCUCCAACAAUCACAAUAUUUAUCUUUAGGCGGGGAUAAGAAAUUUAGCAUGGAAAAGAUGUUAAUUUAUAGACCAGAGUCGGUGAGUUAGUCUUUGCAUAAACUCACCAAGUCUUCAAUGGGAAGUUUUUUCUUCUUUCUUUUUUCACUUUCGAGGACAAGCGGUUGCACCAAUACAUGUUGAUUUACGUAGGAUUAGUCAGUAUACAGAUCUUAACCAGAAUAUAAAGCAAUGUACAAUCAGGUGGAGGCAGGUCCAAUUUAAUAUCAAUCUGUAUGAUCCAUACGUUUACAUAUAUAGUAGAGCUUUCUGCUCUUUUAGUAGUGUAUGGACAAGCAAAUAGAAGAUUACAGAGUAGGUGCCAGCUUGGACUAUACAAUGACCCACCCCUAUCAAACAUGGUUACUCCAUGAGACUUGUGUAGGUUCAGUUUAAUGAGUAUUUAUAUAGCUUAAUUCACCAUUCGAAGUGUUGAGAGAUUGGCUGAUGAGAUUGAAUAUGUAGCCAAGUUCUGAGUUUCUAGCUCAUGUGCCUUCCACUGAGUGAAAAGUCCUUGGAUAAGCUCUGGGGUUGCCUCAGUUCAAUGAAAAAUUGGGAUAAAUUCAAAGACUUUCUGCUAUAUGCUCACUAGGCUUUCCUCAGUUACAAAAGCUUUGACUAUGAUUUUUAUGCUUGCAGCCUUCCCUGUCUGAGCGGUUGGCUCAAAAGUUACUACUACAAUUAUUAUGGUUUGUGAGAGAAAGAGAUCUUAACAAACACCUUUAAACUAAGACUUUUUAAUUAGUCGUCUUUAACAAGCAAGUCUGUAUUUUCUGGUGAGAAGCAAGAAACCUUACAUUAGCAAAAUACCAAUUAAUUAGAUGAAGUCCUUCGGCUAAUCUAUGCCCUAUAAGUAAGGUAAUUAAGCAGAUCGAUACACUUUCCAAAUCUUCAAUGGAUGUCAUUUUUCAAAUUGAAAGGUUGAACCAUUCUGAGAAUUUUCAAAUUGGACAGGCCAUCUGUAAUCAGAUUGUGAUUAGUGUCAUGACCCAUUAGAUCUUUAUAAGAAGUUGGGGUUAGAGGUUUGUUCACAGUGGAUGUCAUGAGAUUUCUGGGCUUUCAUUUCCAUUCUUUCCUCACUAUUUCAUGACACUGAUGCUUCUCCCACCAUUCAUAUGGUUUGACUCGGACAUCUUAAUUAGUUUUUUCGAUCUCAGUUGAUGGGGGCCGGUUAUACUGGGAUAAUCUAGAGAAGCAAAUUAAUGGCAUCUUUCCAUUAUUGGAUUAUAUGAGGUUGUUGGCCAUGGUUCAAAGUCAUGGUAUCGGACACCAACUCGGUAAGUCUUGAGGCACAUGGGUCUCAACGUCGCAGAUCAAUAUCGGGUGAUACACAAAAAAUUAUAGUUUAAAAGCCCAAAACAAUUUAAAAAGAUUACAAAAAUAAAUACAAAUAAAUGAAGUUAAAAAUUAAUAAAAUAAACUUUUAUUAUAUAUAAAAUUAUUCAAAUUAUGAUAAAAACAUACCUUCGUAAUGAUUUAUAAAAAUAUAAAAAAAUUAAUUUAAUCACUUAAUAUUAAAUAUGCAUUAUUAAAGAUGAAAAUAAUAAAAAGUGAAUUUAUUGUUUAUAAUUUUUUUUAAAUUAAAUAUUUUAAAUUUUUAAAAAAUAUUUUCAAUAUUUUAAAAAAUACAUCUAGGAAUCAUCUUUGAAAAAAGUAAACAUCAUUUUUCUUAUCAAAUAUAUACUAAAUGAAACAAUUAUAAAAAUGGAGAAUUUUUAUUUGAAUGAGCAUAUUUGAAUAUAAUAUAUUUUUUCUAUACAUCUAUUCAUUUUAAUUGACUUUUUAUAUUAAUAUUUAUUUUCUAUUUUAUUUAUGUAAACCUAAAUAUUCAUUAUUAAUUUACCAUUAUCCUAAACCCAUCAAAUUUUCAUUAUCCAUUUAAAUACAAUUAUUCACCACAUAUUCAUUAACUACUUAUUUGUAAUCCUAUCAAAUACCCAUAAACCAUUCACCUCGCAAACACGUAUUUCCUUUUUUUGCACAAUACCCAUUUCCCCUCUAAAACAACACUUUGAGCUCUCUACUUCUUUGCACAAUACCUAUAUUUGAAGGCUAAAAAAAUAACCCCAUGAAGAUACAAGAGGAUGGAGAUGCAAAUAGAAGGAUGAAGAUGCACAAGGUUUGAAGACUCUAAACUCUCCAUACUUCUUCACUUUCAUGAGUUUUGAUUAUCUUCUCUUAUCCACCAUUUCUGCUCCAAUAUUACUAUUUUUUUUCCAUCACCCAUCACCCAUCACCCAAAGAGAUUAGUUUGAAUAUAAUAUUAGGGUUAUCUCAAAGUUUCUUUGUGAUUUAACAAGUUUAUUCAUGAGUCAACCAAAUAUUGGACUCAGGAAUCAGUCCAAUACGGUUCAUGAGCUCUUUAUUUAUUUGUACAAUACCCAUUUUUGAAGGCUCACAACACAACCCUACAAAGAUACAAGAUGAUGAAGAUGCAAAUACAAGGAUGAAAUGCAAAGGGUUUGAAGACUCUGAACUAUUUAUAUUUUUUCACUUUCAUGGGUUUCGAUCUUCUUCUCUCAUCCACCAUUUUCGCUACAAUAUUACUAUUUUUUUCCAUUACCCAUCACUCGAAAAGCUUAGUUUGGACACAAUCUUUAGGUUAUCUCAAAGUUUCCAUGCGAUUCAACAAGUUUAUUUCAUUAGAUAACCAAAUAUUGGACUCAGAUAUCAAUUCGAUACCGGUCAUGGCCAAGACGGAUGUAACUCAGUCGAGUCAAACUAGUCUUGACUAAGAUUUUGAACCCCAUUUGAGCUCUCUAUUUCUUUGCAUGUACAAUGCCCAUUUUUGAAGGCUCACAAAAUAGCCCUAUGAAGAUACAAGAGAAUGGGGAUGAAAAGGGUUUGAAGACUCUGAACUCUUCAUACUUCUUCGCUUUCAUGGGUUUCGAUCUUUUUCUCUCAUCUACCAUUUCUACUCCAAUAUUACCAUUUUUUUUCCAUCAUCUACCACCUGAAGAGCUUAGUUUGGAGAUAAUCUUGGGGUUAGCUCAAAGUUUCUUUGUGAUUUAACAAGUUUAUUCAUGAGUCAACCAAAUGUUGGACUUAGGUAUUGGUUCGACACCAAUCAUGGCUAAGGCGGAUAUGACUGAGUUGAGUCGUACAAGUCUCGAUCAAGAUUAUGAGCCCUGUUUGAGCUCUCUAUUUCUCUACACAAUACCCAUUUUUGAAGACUCACAAAAUAGCCUUAUGAAGAUACAAGAUAAUGGAAAUGCAAAUAUAGGUGUAGGACCUCAGGCGCUACCAACUCUCCUAAAAGCAAUUGCUGUUAGGAAAGACGCAUACCCUAACCUUAUAGUGCAUUCACCCAAGCGCCCAUGGAGAACACAAGGGGAGUUUAUGGAUACGACCAACCUUCCGAUCUAUCAGCAAUCUCCCAUACCACUUGUAGGACCUCAGACGCUACUAACUCUCCUAAAAGCAAUUGCUGUUAGGAAAGACGCAUACCCUAACCUUAUAGUGCAUUCACCUAAGUUCCCACGACAAACAUAAGAAGAGUUGAUGGACGCGGCCAACCCUCUGAUCUGCCAACAAUAGGGAUGAAAAUCCAAAGGGUUUGAAGACUCUGAACUUUCCAUAUUUCUACACUUUCAUGGGUUUCGAUCUUCUUCUCUCAUCCACCAUUUUCACUCCAAUAUUACCAUUUUUUUUUCUAUCAACCAUCACCCAAAGAGCUUAGUUUGGACAUAUUCUUAAGGUUAUCUCAAAGUUUCUUUGUGAUUUAGCAAGUCUAUUCAUGAGUCAACUAAAUAUUAGACUUGAGUAUCGAUCUAGUACUGGUCAUGGCCAAGGCAAAUAUGACUCGGUCGUGUCAUACCAAUCUAGAUCAAGAUUUUGAACCUUAUUUGAGCUCUCUAUUUCUUUGUACAAUACCCAUUUUUAAAGGCUCACAAAAUAACCCUAUGAAGAUACAAGAGGAUAAAGAUGCAAAUAUAGGGAUGAAGAUGCAAAAGGUUUGAAGACUCUGAACUCUCCAUAUUUCUUUGCUUUCAUGAGUUUAACUCUUCUUCUCUCAUCAACCAUUUUUGCUCCAAUGUUACCAUUUUUUUCACCAACCAUCACCCGAAGAGCUUAGCUUGGACAUAAUCUUUAGGUUAUCUCAAAGUUUCUUUGUGAUUUAGCAAGUUUGUUCAUGAGUCAACCAAAUAUUGGAUUUAGGUAUCAGUCUGAUACCGAUCAUGGUUGAGGUAGAUAUGACUCGGCUGAGUCUUACCGAUUUCGACCAAGAUUUUGAACCCUGUUUGAGCUCUGUAUUUCUUUGCACAAUACUAAUUUUUGAAGGCUUAUAAAAUAACCUUACGAAGAUACAAGAUGAUGGAAAUACAAAUACAAGGAUGAAGAUGCAAAGGGUUUGAAGAGUUUGAACUCUCCAUACUUCUUGAUUCGUUCCCAAUUGGUGUCUCAGCUGAUUCAUGUCCAGCUGGUGCUCUUUGAUUGAGAGAGUAAUCAACAAAAUUUAUAACCUAUAUCACUAUGCAUUAGGAUAGCUUUAGCUAAUAUAGCAUAGUGGCUCUAGGAUCGUUCACUGGGAAGGGUUUUCAACUCACAACUGAUACCAAUUCAAAGUUAAAUUGGUACUUUUUCAUUUCAAGGUUAGCUUAAGAAAAAAACACAAACUUUGUUUAAAUGAGGUUUUGUUUAAAGGUAACUAAAAAGAAAGUAAUGGAAAUUACUUAUGAAGAAAAACAUUCCUUGGAGGUUUAGGUUCACAGGGGAGGUUUCUUAUGCAAAAACAGAGCUCCGGUCAUUUGGUUCAUUUCCUCGCAUUAGAGAAUUAACAUAUAGUCAAUUCUCUAACCGGUGCUGCACAGAUGUAUCCUUUAAAUGGAUUUCAACUCUAAUUCCCUCUCACUGAUGCAACUUGCAAUGGCUCGUGCCUCUCACCUAGCAUUUUCCAUUCAAUGUGAUCUUUAACUUUGGACUUCUCUUCUCAAGCUCGCAAGAGAUAACUAACGGAUGUCUCCUUGGAGUCCAAAAGCUUACCAAGUGUUGGCAAUUCUAGAAAAUCCUACCUCCAAGUCACUUCCCAAAAGCCCGCAAGAGAUAAACAAGUGCAUCUCCAUGGACGGAGAUCACGUGCCUUACCAAGUGUUGGCUUAAGUGAAUUGAAGGUAUUUUAAGUUAACUAAAAACAUAUAAAUCAUUAAAGGAUCACACUUUCUCUUCAUUAAUGACUGAAACCACAAAGCUACUAAUUCUUGCACUUGGAACCUUUCCCGGCAACCUUAACUCCAAGGAACUAAAAGUCUAGCCACUCAUUCUAUGAGGAAACUUCCUCAGAGCUUGUUUGGCUAGUAAGAAAACUAACGAGAAAACAAUUAUAUGAAGGAAAAACAGAGCAAGUGCUCUAUAAAAUAUAUUUCUUUUUUCUGCCGAUUACAUAAUAUAUCUUUGUAAAGAAAAUUACAAACUAUAUAUAUGAGGUUAUUCACCCUUUGUACUUACUUAAAGACUAAGGAAUCCUAUGAUAGGUGGGUUACAAGGAGACUUUGGGAGGUGGGUUACAAGGAGACUUUGGGGAUUUAGACAACAAAUAUUUAAAGCAAAAUAUCUCAGGAUGUCGGUCGGAAAUAUCAAGAAGCUUCAGGAGAACACCGUGGCACUGUAUACUGAGAGAAAAACUCUCCUGGUAAGCGCUAUCAGAGGAUCCGGAUAAGUUUGACCGGAGAAGUUGAAACGUCCUCCUCUCCCAUCCGGCUGCGAGAUAUCCAGAUGUAAAAUGUCGGCGCACAGAAUUCCGGAUGUGAAAUGUCGACGCACGGAAUUCCUCCCCUGGUGGACUAAGCUAUGUUGCGCAAGGGGGACCGUCUGCGUGUGCAAGGUGUAGGGACCCCUCUCCCGGAUGACACGGAAUGCGCAAGGCUAUCCGGAUCAACUCCAUCCGGAUUCCCCAAGAGGACAUGUGGCGUGCUCCCCUAUUCAGACUCCCUCAGGUUGAAGCACACAGCACUCGUGAUCAUCACACCCGGACGAUAGCAUAUCCUAUCCGGAUAUGUUGUCCGGAUCAUUGACUUCCGCCGUCAUCCGAUGGUGUGUCCGGACAUCUUUUACUCCUUGCAUUCCAGAUUUGCUUAUGGAAAAGAACCUCAAAGCUUUGGUUCUUCAUAUUUCUGAGCUUUCCAUUGCUUUGCCAUGGAUUCCAAAGAACUCUCCUCAAUCACGGAUUGCUUUGGUGAUAAAAAAGCUAUCAAAACACCAAAACUUAACACAAUUUGAUUAGAAUUGAUUGCAAGGGUCCUUAAUAUGUUAAUUGGGUUAAAAUGUGAUAACUACUACUCAAAAGUGUUUAAAAGAGUUUAUUACAAGCUAUCAAAUAGCACUUUUUGAGUAGUAAUCACUUCUUCACUACCAUGGGUUUCGAUCUUCUUCUCUCAUCCACCAUUUUCCCUCCAAUAUUACCAUUUUUUUUCCAUCACCCAUUACCCGAAGAGCUUAGUUUGGACAUAAUCUUAGGGUUAUCUCAAAGUUUCUUUGUGAUUUAACAAGUUUAUUCAUGAGUCAACUAAAUAUUGGACUUGGGUAUCGGUUCGAUAAUAGUCAUGGCCUAAGAUUUUGAACCCUUUUUUAGCUCUCUAUUUCUCUGCGCAAUACCCAUUUUUGAAGGCUCACAAAAUAACCCUACAAAGAUAUAAGAUGAUAGAGAUGCAAAUACAGGGAUGAAGAUGCAAAGCGUUUGAAGACUCUGAACUCUCCAUACUUCUUCACUUUCAUAGGUUUCGAUUUUCUUCUCUCAUCCGUCAUUUUAGCUCCAAUAUUACCAUUUUUUUGCAUGACCUAUCACUCGAAGAGCUUAUUUUGGACAUAAUCUUAGGGUUAUCUCAAUUUUUUAUUUUAUUUUUGUGAUUCAACUAGUUUAUUCAUGAGUUAACCAAAUAUUAAACUCGGGUAUUGGUCUAGUACCGGUCAUGGUUGAGGCGGAUAUUACUCGGCCGAGUCGUUUUGAUCUCAACUGAGAUUUUGAACCCCAUUUAAGUUCUUUAAUUCUUUUCACAAUACCCAUUUUUGAAGGCUCACAAAAUAACCCUACGAAGAUACAAUAUGAUGAAGAUGCAAAUAUAGGGACGGAGAUGCAAAUGGUUUAAAGACUUUGAGCCCUCCAUAUUUUUUCACUCUCAUGGGCUUCGAUUUUCUUCUCUCAUCCACCAUAUACGCUCCAAUAUUACCAUUUUUUCCAUUACGCAUCACCCGAAAAGCUUAGUUUGGACAUAAUCUUAGGGUUAUCUCCAAGUUUCUUUUUUAUUCAACAGGUUUAUUCAUGAGUCAACCAAAUAUUGGACUUGGGUAUUAGUUCGGUAUUGGUCAUGGCCGAGGUGGAUAUGACUUGGCCGAGUCGUACCGGUCUUAAUUGAGAUUUUGAACCCUAACUGAACUCUCCAUUUAUUUGCACAAUACCCAUUUUUUUAAGGCUAACAGAAUAAGCCUACGAAGAUACAAGAGGAUUGAGAUGCAAAUAUAGGAAUGAAGAUGAAAAGGGUUUGAAGACUCUUAACUCUUUAUACUUUUUCACUUUCAUGGGUUUCAAUCUUCUUCUCUCAUCCACCAUUUUUGCUCCAAUAUUACCAUUUUUUUCCAUUACCCAUCACCCAAAAAGCUUAGUUUGGACAUAAUCUUAGAGUUAUCUCAAAGUUUCUUUUUUAUUGAACAAGUUUAUUCAUGAGUUAACCAAAUAUUGGACUCGGGUAUCGAUCCAAUACCGAUCAUGGCUGAAGCGGAUAUGACUCGAUCAAGUCGUACGAGUCUCAAUCGAGAUUAUGAACCCUAUGUGAGCUCUUUAGUACUCUACACAAUACCCAUUUUUGAAGUCUCACAAAAUAGUCCUACAAAGAUGCAAGAGGAUAGAGAUGCAAAUAAAUGGAUGGAAAUCCAAAGGGUUUGAAGACUCUGAACUCUCCAUAUUUCUUCACUUUCAUGGGUUUCGAUAUUUUUCUCUUAUCCACCAUUUCCACUUCGAUAUUACUAUUUUUUUCCAUCACCCAUCACCCUAAGAGCUUAGUUUGGACAUAAUAUUAGGGUUAUCUCAAAUUUUCUUUGUGAUUCAACAAGUUUAUUCAUAACUCAACCAAAUAUUGAACUCGAGUAUCGGUCCGAUAUCGGUCAUGGUGGAGGUAGAUAUGAGAACAACCAAAUAUUCAAUUUUUUUUUAAAUUUAUAAUGUGCAUUUACUACAAAGCAAUCUUUAAAAUAAAAUAAAACUACCAUUGAUAAUUAGGUUACACUUGACAGCAAUUUUAGGAAGUGUUUUUAAUCUUUCUAAUACUUGAAAAAUAACAAUAGUGGUUUUAAGAAACGUUUCUAACUUUUUUAAUGGACAAUUGCAAAUUAGGAAAUAAAUAUGUAAAUGGGUACCAAUUUUUCUAAAAGCUUUUAAACUUUUUUCUAUUUUGGGUUAUAAUGUGUAUCAUGUUAUUAACAAUAUUUUUGCUUUUAUUUCAUGUCAAAUAAUAUAAUUUUUAACUUUAGAAGAGUCACAAACAAUAUUUGUGUUUACCCUAAAAUGCUUUUUCCUCGUAUGCAUUUCAGGGUGUAGGGAUUCUCAUGGAAAAUACUUCCCAUGGCUGGCAUGGGAGUUGAAGAAUUGUUGCAUGUGCAGCCAAAGGUAAAAGAGGGAUUCAUGUGUUACCUGAAUUGCAUUUUAUCUGAUUUACAAUUUGAUUAUAUGUAUGUUUGUGCAGUCUGGUGCUUGUGUUGCUCAUUUCUAUAUGUGCUAAAUGGAGGAUUUCUUUUUCAUCCAAAACCCUAGUAUUGCAGGAGAUAGUUGCUUUAUGGGUCAGUCUUCUUACCAAAUCUUAACUCUAUGCUGACUUCUUUUUCUUUGAUUUCCUACUCUUUGUUCUGCAUAUGUGUUUUCAACCUAACUAUUUUCAUAGGGAUCAAUGGAAAUUAUGAUUUUUCAAAGAAUAUUGAAAGUAGAAGAAAAUUAAGCAUUUGUGAAAUAUGGAGGAGCAAAAUGAUUUCUUAGUUUUAGCACAUCAGUUUACAGAAGAUAUUGUAAUUUCACAUGAUGAAAAUGAAGAGGGGAACCCAGAUUUCCAAUGGAGGGACUUUUUGGGCUUGGGGGACUAGAAAUGCAAGAUAUAAGUGCAAAUAUUGGAGUUACCCAACCAUAAAUCUGUCCGAAAAACUCGCUUUAAGGGGAGGAUGUUCCUCAUACACAAGAUGGAUUUAGCAUGGGGAUAAUUAGAUCCUAGAUGUUUGUAAGACUCAAUUCUAUCCAGUUUGCGUCCUUUUGGGGCUCCAUCAUGUGGGUUCUUUCCCCUUUUCGGUCAUCUUAAACUGGCUCUGAUGGUUGUUCGAUUGGUAACUCCGAAAGAUCAGAAUAGCUGUAUCUGCUAAGAUAAUGGAUGAAAUGAUAUGCUAACUUGGCAACUCGAAAAUAAUGGCCCGUGUCUUCCUCCUAUUAGGGUAUAUUGAAUUCUAAUUCAAGAAAAUUUUGCAGUAUUCAGGGUGGAAGCAGAUCACUUAAUCUUUUGUAGUAGGGAUUUAAGAGGUUUAGGCAGAUGCUUGAAGGUUUAUUCAUACUUAUUGUGAAGCAGAUCAUCUGGAAAACUGGGGAGUUAUCAUGCUGAAGACAUUUUUCUCCUUAUUGAAGUUUUCCAAACAAACCCUUCCAUCUAGGGUGAAUUAUUGGUUUCAUUUGGCUGAGUAGGAGAUUUCAGAUAGAAGCCAUCAAUCCUGGUCCUCAAGGGUGGAGUGGUAUGAUUACCAUCUAUGUAAAGACUUUGAAAUUUUUUUGUCAUUAACAAGCAUUUGUUGAUAAAUUUGCUUACCAUCUUCCACAAAUGAAAUUAUGGUUUUGAGUGUAUAAUUAUAACUGCUUAUGAUGAAAGGGAAAAACACCGACAAAGGACUCACUGGUUUUUUCUGCACAAAUGGGAGCAAUCUGUUAUUCUGGUUUCUUAUUACACACAAGCAAAACGAUCAUUUAUAGUUGUAAAUAGAGAGCUCUUCUUCUUACCUAGACUGAAAGUGACGGAGGUUUACUAUUUUAAGUUCAGUGACAUGUCCACAUUUUCUUCCUUUGCCUUACGAAGUGUUUCAAAUCCCAUUUCUUUCCAGACAUUCUUUAGCCUUUGAGCAACCGAAGAGAUAAGGGGACGCUUUUGGGGGUUCUCUUCUGUGCACAUCAUCCCUGCAUCGAGCAUGUGGAUACAGCAUUGCUCAAGCUUAUGUAAAGCACCACUCCCCUCUUCCAAAUAUGCUUCGUGCUUCAGUGAGAUGUCUACAAUAUCCAAAACUUGAUUUGGAAAAGCAGAACACACCCAUUUCCUUAGAUCAAGUCCAUCUGAAAACAUUUCAUUCGUUGGUCUCUUCCGUGUUAUCAUCUCUAACAUCAUCACUCCAAAACUGUAUACAUCUCCUCUUGUUGAGACAUCGAUCCCCUGCCCAUAUUCUGUGUACAAGCAAUAGGAACUAUUAGCUGAAUCACUGUACUUUUAUUUAUAUCCCUUCAAAUUAGGAUAGUCUGUUUAAAGAAAGAGACAUGGAUAGAUGCAGUUGGUUCAUAUUAACUAUCUGAAUAUCACAAGAAUGCAAGCAUCCUUCUUUUUCAUUUAGAUGUAAAUGCUUCUCAUUGGAAAAGCGAUUAGGAAACUAUCUGAAUAUCACUGUACUUAAAGAAAAGCGGGAGAAUAACCAACAAGACAUACCAUGUUGUUAAACAAAUUUAUCAUAAUGGUAUAUGAGGAAACACACAAAACCCUAUUUUUUCUUCUCGACUUCUAUCCUAUUAUUAACAGUUAGUUCUCUAGAAUAUAUGACCAUUGGGUAGGCAGUCAAAUGAAUGAAAACUAGACUAGUUUGAAGUUCAUGUGAGAUGAAAGAUUGGCAUUCAUGAUUAAAAGUAAUUAUCUAGUCUGAUAACUUAUCAUUUACUUCUCAGAUUUGAAGGUAGGUCGCUAACUUUUCCAAGAAGAUUCAAAGGGAUUAUGAAGCAUAGGAUUGAAGAUUUAUAUAAGGUAAUCAAAUGCAUACCUGGGGGGAUAUACCCGACAGAUCCUCGUAGAAAAGCAGUUGUGGUAGUAACAUGUCCUCUUGGUUUGUCACCUGAAAUGAGCUUUCCAAUACCAGAAUCUCCUACAUGAGCCACCAUAUCAUUGUCCAAAAGAACAUUUUGUGGUUUCAGGUCACAGUGUACAACUUGAACAGGACAACCCUCAUGAAGAUACUCCAAGCCAUUUGCAACAUCUAUUGCUAUUCCCAUUCUUUCCCUCAAUUUUAAUUCACUACCUCCUUCAUCUGACCCACCAGGGUAAAGAUGCUGUUCCAAGUUCCCAUUGCCUAUAUACUCGAGAACAAUAGCCUUGAAUCCUGAAUUCCAGGUCGAUCCUAUCAUUCUAACCAGAUUCCUAUGUCUAAUUUCAGACAGUAUUUGACACUCCCUUUUAAAACUUCUGUAACCCUGAACACGCUCUUCUUGCAGAACCUUAACUGCCACAACAGUUUUUCCAUCAUUGAUGAUAGCUUUAUACACCCUACCAAAACUUCCUUCCCCUAAUAGAUUAGCCUCAUCAAAACCGCCAGUAGCAAUUUCGAUUUCCCUUUCAGUUAAAGUUUGGGUUCCAUGAUGGGUUGGGGAAUACAUUAGAAUUGCAGUCUCCGCACCUGCACUCCUAUUUUUGAAGAAGAAACGACGAACAGUGAGGGCGAUCAGCACAAAGAGAAGCAGAGAACAAGUUAAUAUUGCAAACAGGUAAUAAAUCCAUUUCCUUUUCUUGUGCUUUUGUUUCAGAAUUUCACAUGGAUGGAGACCCAUAAGUUUGGUGCCACCACAGAGCCCCAUAUUCCCCAUGAAUGAGCUGCUUCCUAGAUUUUUAUACCUCCCACUAUUUGGAACCUCUCCUGUUAAUCUGUUAUACGAUAAAUUGAGAUUCUUGAUCUUCUGGCUGUCACCAAUCCAGAUUGGAACAUUUCCUGUUAAAUUAUUGAAAGCCAAGUCCAGAUAUCCUAGAUCAAUGAUUUGCUUCAGGGACUCUGGGAUUGUACCUUCAAGCAUGUUGUGAGAGAGGUUCAGAUACUCCAUUGAAAUGCAUCUUCCAAUCGAACUUGGUAUCACUCCGAAGAAUUUAUUCGCUGACAAGUCAAUUGCCAGCACAGAUGCCAGAUUUCCAAUACUAGCAGGUAGUUCUCCUUCAAGAUUGUUGUUCGAAAGGUUGAGUGAAAGAGCCAGGUUUGAGAAAUGACCAAUUUCUGUGGGAAGAGACCCUUGUAAGUUGUUAAAAGACAAAUCAAGAAGCAUUAGAAGAGAACAUUGGGUGAGUUCGAUGGGAAUUUUCCCUGUGAGGUGGUUGUGAGACAAGUAAAGAUAUCUCAACUGUGACAGAUUACCAAGAGAAGAUGGGAUUGUCCCACUAAUCAAAUUAUCACUAAGUUCCAGUAAACCAAGGUUAGCCAUCUGCCCAAGUUCAUCUGGAAUUGGCCCAAGAAGUUUGUUUCUUCCCAAGUGUAAUCUCUGCAACUGCCUAAGCUUCCCAAUUGUUGCAGGAACUCCAUUCAAAAAAUUAUACCACAGGUCUAGAGUCACAAGGCCGCUUAGAUUUCCAAUUUCAGCUGGUAGGUCUCCUGUUAAUUUGUUGUUUCGAAGAUUCAAGUAGUAGAGAUCUUUGGAAAGACUGCCAAUUGAAGCCGGUAAACUUCCUGCAAACAGACAUGCCCCUAAGUGCAGUUUCUGUAGACGUGAACAAUUAGUGAGAGGAGUUAGAAAACUGAGGGAAGAGUUGUUGGAACCGCUCACCAGGUUAUUGCUAUGAAGGUAAAGUCUCUCAAGUUUCUUCAACUUCCCCAACUCAGGAGGGACUUCCCCCUCUAACUGGUUGAGGCUAAGAUCAAGCAGUGUCAGCUGAGAAAGAUUGGACAGGGUCACUGGAAUUUUCCCAGAAAGUUGGUUUUCUUGGAAGUACAAUCUCUGCAAGUUAUGGAGCUUUGACCCCAAUUCGAAAGGGAUUGUUCCCGUUAACCGAUUCUCAAUCAGUGUAAUGUGACGCAGGGCAGUGCAAUUACUGAUGGAUGCAGGUAUGCUUCCUUCCAAAAAGUUGAUGUGGAGGUACAAUAUCUCCAGCUUUGUUAAUGCUCCUAGCUCCUCUGGAAUCCUUCCUGUGAAGUAAUUAACUUGCAAUUCUAAAUCUGUCAGCUUUGUCAGAUUCGAAAGAAACGAUGGUAUAGCUCCAGUGAGGCUGUUCUCAGAGAGACAAAGGUAUGUCAAGUUUGUCAUUUGGCCUAGUACAGCAGGAAUGCUUCCAGUCAGAUUGUUAUAGUCCAAGUCUAUUGUCUCCAGGCUCCAGCAGCCUUGUAUUGAGGCUGGAAUAUUGCCCCCAAGCUUAUUACCACUCAUGUUUAUGAAUGUUAACUCAGAAAGCUCUCCAAUGGUAGCUGGGAUCUCUCCAUACAAGCUGUUGGCUUGCAAAGAGAGGGUGGUGAGAUGGGAUAGAUUGGAUAUGUAUGGUGAGAUAACUCCCUGUAAGCGCAUGUUUAUGAGCUCAAUGGCUAUGACCCGGUUCUUAAGUUGCUGGUGGCAUGUAAUCCCUGUCCAGUUGCAGAAGAACCUGGUUUCAUUCCAAUCUUGGAGAUGACCAUCUGGAUCACCUGUUAUGCCUUGUUUGAAUUUGAGCAGAGAUUGACAAUCAGUGGAGUUUUUGCAGAGGAAUGUGGAAGUUGAUAGUAGAGCAAGACAACUAAGAGAGAAAAACACUGCCACAGCAACGGGAUUGUUCUGAUUGUAUGCCAUUCUCUCUCUCUCUCUCUCUCAGUGUGUGUGUACAGCUUUUGGAAUUCGAUGUUAGAUUUCAGGCCAAAAGUUUUUUUUCUCACUUGUUAGGUAAGAUGGGAUGAACAAUCAAUUUUCUUAAAAGUUUAAACUUAACGUGUAUCAUACUUUUCAACACUCGACGGGAUCAAUGGUAGAAGUUUAAAUAGAUGGGCUCAGUUGCUCAAAUGGUUCAGACAACUUGGCCUAGUGAGGGGCAGGUGGUGAGCCCUCAUUUAUCACUGGGACCAUAGAGCAAGACUUUUUGGUAUUGCCAUCACCUGUCUUAACUUCAUUCAACCUCUUCAAUGCUGUUUGACAUUUUCUUCCGUGACAGAAUUAAUAGCUAUGCAGUUUCCCAAAAUUUGCUCCGAACCCAUUGUCAUUUUUUUUUCUUCAUAUUUUAUAUUUUGUAUUUAUUUAUUUUUAUAUUAUUAUCAUUUAUUAUUUAUUUUAUUUUUCUUUCUUUUUCUUUUAUUUAUUUUAUUUUCUUCUUCCUUUCUUCCUCCAUGCAUGCACUACCAUUGUCACUUUUUUCUCUUUCUAAGGAUUUGCAAUUGACUCUAUUGAUAUUUUGUUGGUUGAGCAUGGAUUUAUGACUUAUAACACACACAUGGAAGGUUGAAUUUCAUGAAAGAAAAUGAGGGUUAGAAAAAUAAUAAAUGGGAAACAUUGAGCUUAUUGUGGGUUUGAUUUGGUACAAAUUCUUUUGUAUAUAUCUACUUGGGUAUACAAUUGAAUAUUUAAUUUAGGAAAAUUCAAAAAAUUGUUUUCAAUGAAAUUAAAAAAAAAAAUUAAUAACAAUUGCCUGGAAAUUUAUUUAUUUAAUAAACAUUGUUUUGUCAAUAAAAUUGUCAUCAAAGUUAAUUUUUAAUAAAAUUAUCUAAAAAAGUGAAUUUAUAAAUGAAAUUCUAUUUCCUUAAUUUAAAUGGGAUAAAAAGUAAUUUUUGUAAAUUAAAGUCUUAAAUAAUUUUUUCAUAAUAAUAGAACGAGAAUCUUUUUAGCAAAUUGAACUUAUACAAAUUAUUUUCUUUUCGUAAAUAAAGUUUGUAAAGAAAUUAUUUUCUUUAUAAAUAAAAUCAAAAUGAAAUAUUUUUACAACUAAAAGAAUAUUUAAUUGAGCAAGUGAUGAACUAUUUGCUUGUUUAAGUAACCUUUUGAAAUGUUCCCUCAGCAUAAUGGUAGUACAAUAAGAGGGUUUAUUAUGUACUUCUUUCUAUAUGGACUUUGGGUAUAAUAAAAACAAUGCUUUCUCUCUCUCUCUCUCUCUCUCUCUCUCUCUCUCUCUCUCUCCCCCUAGUCCACAGGUUUACACCCUCAGCUUUACCCUGGACUAAGUCCUGAAACCCAAAGAUUAUGCAGAAUCAAACUCUUAAAGUCUACAGCAUGAGUUGAAGAAAAAAGGAUGAGUAUUUAAUGUAGUAGUUGAGGAAUGAUUCAAUGUUUGAAAUAUAAAAAAUGCAAUCCAUUGAACACUUAGCUGGACUAUCUGCUUAUUGUAUACAUAAAACAUAGACUAAUCCGAAGACUUCUAUGUUAUAACUUUAGAAUUUUCAUAUCCAAGGUUUUCACUUCUUUCUCAUCAGAAGACAAAGAUUGUAACUGUUGCAGAAAACCUAACAACCUAGUUUAUUUGUUAAGGUCCCUUUCUCUCAUAAGACAUAAAUAUAUUCACUAUCAAACACCAUAAUGAUAAUAAUAAUGAUCUUCUUUUUGCUGUAUAUACACUACUUUAGAGUUUGUUCAAUGUUUGGUUACCAAGAAAACAGAAGGACUGAUCUGCUGCAUUAAAAGGUUAAGUAAUCCUGAAUACUUUCACUUCAUUUUGCCAUAUGUAGUUCUUCCAUUAGCUAGCCAUUUGGAACUAAAUCUUGUGGAGAACUUUUCAUAUUGGAGAUGGAUAUGAAAUUGGAUCUGCCUCCACCUCAUUGAACUUCACUUUCAACAUAUGCAUUGAGAAUAUUUAAGUUAAGAUCAGUAUACUAACUAACCCUACAUAAAUUAACAUGUAUUGGUGAAAACACUUAUCCUUGUAAGUGAGAAAGCAAAAAAAAAAAAAGAAAAAAAAAAAAGACCUACCCAUUGAAGACCAUCUAUAAAUUGACAUGUUUCUCAUGCAAAAAUUUUCACCCCUCACCUAAACACAAAGAUUUGUGAUUGUUUGGAGACAGUACUCUAACAAUGGAGAAAGGUGUUAGUUUCCUAGUAACUGUGGCCCUCAUGGCAUUGGCUUCAUCUUUUGCCUCUGCCUCUGAUCCAAGCCCACUGCAGGACACUUGCGUUGCCAUUGGGGAACCCAAGAAUGCUUGUAUUUCUUUAGUAACCAAUGAACUUGUCACUAUUUUCACUGAUCUUUCCAAUUCAAUAUUGGGCACAUUAAUGCAGUAGCCAUUGCUGGUCUAAGCAGCCAAAAUCCAGGUGUAAUCACCAUAUCCAAUGCAGUGUUUGGAUCAAAUCCACCAAUCAAUCCUGAUUUCCUGGCAACGGCCUUCCAGUUGGACAAGAAGGUGGUUGAAUUCCUUCAAGCACGAUUCUAGUGGGGAAAUAGAGAAAAUGAAGAAGCUAUGAACCUUUGAUUUGCUUGCUUGAAUGACUAUUUGUGAUGUUCAAUUACCUCAUUACAAUAAGAGGGGUUUAUUACUUUAUUUUGUAGCUCUUUUGGUGUGGACUUUGGUCCUAAUAUUAAAAUAAAGCAGUUUGUCUGUUAUGCAUCUUCUUCUGUCUCCAUCUCAAUAUUUGUCUUAAAAAAUCUUAUCUUGUGAAAAAACAACUCUCAGUUGAUUGAUUAACCUGCAUGUGCAGAAUGUUUAUUAAGAAUGAAUACUUAACUAGUUGUAAAACAGUACUACUGCUACUUCCAGCAUACUGCUGGCAGAAUUGGUGAUGAAGGAAUGAACAUUGAGGCAACAACUGCUGAGAAUUCAAAAAUAAAAAAGAUGCCAUUUUGCUUCUCUAUAUUUUCCCAUUAUAACUCAUCAACCGAGAUCGAAGAAACUAAUUAAGAUGUCCAAGUAAACCAUUUGAAUGGUGGGAGAAGCAUAAGUGUCAUGAAAAUUGUGAAGAAAGAAUGGAAAUGAAAACCCAGAAAUCUUAUGACAUCUACUGUAGACAAAUUAAUGUCUUAAAUAAUCUUUUCAUAAUAAUAGAACGAGAAUCUUUUUAGCAAAUUGAACUUAUACAAAUCAUUUUCUUUUCAUAAAUAAAGUUUAUAAAGAAAUUAUUUCCUUUAUAAAUAAAAUCAAAUUGAAAUAUUUUUGUAAAUAAAGUUCUAAAAAUUCAUUCUUUUUCUAGUAAAAGUAAGUCAAAAUAAUUUUUAUUGUCAAAUUGGAAUUUUUUGAAUAAAUUCUAUCCAAAUAAAAUUCAAUCAAAUCAUUUAUUGGAAAUAAAUAAAUAAAUUAAAAUCUUGAAAAAGUAAUAUUUAAAAUAUCUUUUUGUAAUCAAUUUAAUAAAUCGGGGUGUAUAAUUCUAAUGUCAUUUAUUUUGUACAUUUUUGUAAUUUAAUUUUAUAAUUAUUUUCUUGUAUAUUAAUUUGUGUCUUUAAUCUUGAUAUUCAUGAUUGAUCAAUUAACUGUCAUAAUUCAUUUUGUUUGUUUAGUAAAGAUUGUUAGUAUACAUGCUUAGAGGGGUAUUACCACUUAUUAUUGUACCUUUCUGAUAGACAACUUGACCCUUGAAUAUAGACUUGAUUUUACAGACAUGUCUUUUCUAAAUGAGGAUUUAUACAAAAUUUUCUUUCUUAUUUUAUUUUCUCUUUUAAAAAAUAAAUUAAAAUAAGUGGCAAUCCUAAUUUUUUUAUAUAAAAAAAAAAAAUCAAAAUUUCACAAUAAAAAUGAGUCUCACUGUCGAGUGGGAACACACGCAAAAAAUACGGGUCAACAUGUAUCCAAUUGAUUGGGGUCAAUGUCAAGAUGUAUGAUAAAGAUGCAAAAUUUGAAUAUGAAUCCUACCAUUGAUUGAAUCUUGAACUACCUGAUACUGGUUGUAACAAGUGAGAUAAGUUGCUAAGGUUUGCAUUGAAAUCCUCAAUUGAAAGUUACUAGUCAUCCAAAUAUGUAUAUAAAUCAAAGUGCACACAAUUGAUUUUCUUUCUCUUCUAAAUCCAAGAAAUCAACCUCCUUAAGCAAAAGACCUUAGAAUUCUUAGAGUGUGUUUGAUAGUGAUUUUAGGAAGUGUUUUUAACUUUUUUAAUAAUUGAAAAAUAAGAAUUUUGAAGUGUUAAAAAUGUUAGAAACGCUUCCUAAAAUCACUAUCAAACGCACUUUUAAUGUAAUUUGCUCUAUGUACCACUUGAUGUGGAUGUUAAGAUUGAUAUCCUUGGUCAUUGCCUAUAAUCCUAUAUCUAUAAUAGCAAGAAGACAUACAUUGAAACAUGAAUACCCUUUCACUAUGUUUGGUUUAUGGAAAAUACUAAGAAAAGAAAAUGUUCUGAAAAAUGUUUUUCUUAUAUUUAGUUUUAUUAUGAAAAAUAAGAAAAAAAUAAAAUAUAAUUAUAAUUAAUUAAAAUUUUAUGUAUUUUAAAAUUAUUUAAUAUUUAUAUAAUGAAGGAAAAUAAAUGAAACAAGCUUGAAAAAGUAUAUAAAAAUAAUUUAUUAAUUAUAACUUGUAUGCGACUAUUUUGUACUUUAAUCCCGUUUUUCUUUUAUUCUCUUGUAGGUACCUUGAUUUUAUAUAUUUGUAUCUUUAUUCGAUGAUUUAGAUUUCAUAUAUUUGUAUCUUUAAUUGAGAUUGCAAGAUCCGUACGGAUUCAGAUUAGGGAUGACAACGGUAUGGGCUUGAGGCAAGUUACUCAUAUCCCAAUCCAUUAUAUUUAUUCGUAUAUGUUAUCAUCCCCACCAAAAAAAGAAAUUAAAUGGGAAUAGGAAAUUCUCAUGCCUACCCCAUGCUAUCCCAUUAUUUAUUUAUUUAUUUUUCAAUUUUUAUUUCUAAAAUUUUAAGAAAAUUAAUAUUUUAAAUAUGUUAAAAAAAUUGAAAACUGAAAAAAGAAAUCAAUUAAAGAACUUUUUAUUUAACAUUAUACAUAAUUAGGCUGAGGUAGGAUGAAACAAACUCAUACCCAAAAUCACCCUGAAUCAAUCUUGGGUUUUUAAAAAUUUCUCAAAUUCAAGAUGAGACAAAAUCAUAUCCAAAACUAUCUCGAAUCCAUCCUAGAUUUUAAAAAUUUUCUCUAAUUUAUCUAAACUUUAUAUCAUUAUCUCAAAACGAGUACAUUAAGGGUAUGACAAGUACUAAAAAAAAAUUGGUAUAUUGUCAUCCCUAAUCAAGAUCCUAAAAUUUUUCUUUAUGAUAAUGAAAACAACAAUCAUAGUCGUCAUCUCUCUAUCAGUGUACUUUUUAGGUUUGAUCGAAUACACCUUAUGUGUUGCCUUUGGGGCAACCUAGCUCUCUCAAUCAUUGUCUAAAGUUCGGGUGUUUGUUUGUUUUAAUUUUUUUCGACUUUUUUUAAUACUAAAAGUAACUUAAUGACUUUUUUUUAACUUUUUAGUACUUAAUAAAAAUAAAAUAUUAAAAAACCAAAAACUGUGAUGUUUAAUACUUUUAAACACUAUAUAAUUUUAAGUUUUAUUCAAAAUUAAGUAAAAAAGAAAAAAAAAACACUCCUUUGAUGGUCAUCUAAAACUUUUAGGUCAAAGCUUGAUUUGGAGCUCAUUUAAACCUAACCCAAACUUCAACUAAAAAGACCUAUGUCCAACACAAUUAUUAGAGGUGUCCAAUGGGUCAUGUCGGGCCAACACAACCCAUGUUUAUCAGGCCAAUGCGUUGGCUCGACCCAUGCAAGCCAAAUAGGUGGCUUGACAUGGCCCAUAAACCCAUGGGCUAAUCAUGUCGUGUUGUGCCAUGUCGGUGAGUCGCCCCAUGGGCCACACACUUUAAUUAUUAUUUUUUAAUUUAUUUUGUCUUAAGUUUUUUAUUAUUAAAUAAAAUUUCUUUUUGUUACUUUAAACACCUCUAAUAAUUAUACUUUUUAUUUUUUAUAUUUAUAUUUAUCAAGUUUAUAACUGUAAAAUUUAUAAAAAUGUUAGUUUUUUGUUUUUAAAAAUAAUAAAAAGUGAUAUUUAAAGGGUUAAGUGGGCCAACAUGAUGGCACGACGGGUUGUUUCCUUAGGCCCACCACGACCCGCUCCUUUGGGCCAUGCCGGCCUGACUCGAUCUUUUGGCGCACUAGGCCACAGGCCAAAAUGGGUGGCUCGACCCAUUGGACACCUCUAGUAGUUACAUGUCUAGCAUCCAAACGGUAGACCAGGUGAGUUUUGUCAAACCCAACCCAUUCAUCCCCUUUGCUUCAUGUUGGCCACCCGGUUCAGACCAACCAUUGGGUUGAUUUGGGGUCUUGGUUAUUUUUGUUUAAAUAAAUUGCAAAGAAAAAAAAAACUUGGUUUGGAUAAAUAAACUUAAGUUGUUUUUAAAAUAAGCUUUUAUUUGAUUUUUUCUAAAAAAAUUUAUAAAUUCAAUUUGUACAAUAUUAAUUAUAUUUAAUUGAAGUCUUAUUAAAGAUUUAAAAAAAAAUAGUUUUUAAAUUAAAGAUAAAUUAAAAAAAAUCAUAAAAUAUGAAAUUAAUAUUAUAAUAAAAUCAUAAAUUAUGAUUUUUAUUUAAAAUGAUACUAUUUUAAGAUAUGAUUGAUUUAUUUAUUUUGAUAAGAAUGAAUAAUACUAAUUUUAAAAUAAUAAAAGGGUGAUAUAGUUUAUUUGAAAUAAAUUUAAAAAUAAAUAAAAUUUAUUUUUUUAAUACGUAAAUAAGCGAAGUUUUUCAUUAUAUCUACACCUGAGAAUUUAAUCAAGGAUAUAGUAUUUUGAACUAGUUUUGAUUCAUUCCUAUAAUCUUCAUUCAGUCAUUAUGGUUUAGACAAUUGAUAAUUAAUCUGUUGGCAUAAUUGAUUCUGCAAAACAGUAUCCUGAAUUUAGUAUCGAGGGAGGCAGAAACACAGCGAGAGAGAGAGAGAGAGAGAGAGAGAGAGAGAGAGAGAGAGAGAGAUGAUGCUUAACAAUUAACAGACUGCAGACUGCUUUAUUGUAGUAAUAUGCCCAAAGUCCACACCAGAAGAGUUACAACCAGACCCUCUUAUUAUACCAUGUUUGUUACAAUGAGGGAAUUGAACAUCAUGAAUCGUCAUUCAAGCAAGGAAAUCAAAGGUUGACAGCUUAUUCUUUUUCUAUAUUUCCCCACUAGAAUCGUGCUUGAAGGUAUUCAACCACCCUCUUGUCCAACUGGAAGGCCCUUGCCAGGAAAUCAGGAUUGAUGGGUGGAUUUGAUCCAAACAUUGAACUGGCUAUGGUGAUUACACCUGGAUUUUGGCUGUUAAAAGCGGCAAUGGCUACUGCAUUAGUGUGCCCAAUGUUGACUUGGAAGUGAAUGAGACUGAAAGGGAACACAAAAACAUCCCCCUUGUUCAGGACUUUGCUAAUGAAGCGGUGUUCAGGGUUGGAUGUGAUAAAGCCAACAAAGAGUGUUCCCUCCAAGACAAUGAAGACCUCACUGGCACGAGGGUGAAAGUGAGGAGGGUUUUGACCAUUAGGUUCAUAAUCGAUACGAGCCACUGACACCCCAAGAGUGUUUUCUCCUGGUAAUUGAUCAACAUUUAUAAGAUUGACAAUUGAGCCCACAUAAUUUGAUGUGUUUCCUGGAAUAUUCAGCCCUUGAUACAAGAAAUCCUCGGCCACGGUCAGGUUUGGGUUCUUGCAGAACUUCCCAUUUACAAAUACUGCAUGAAGAAGGAAAAAAGAAAAGAUAUAUCAUUAGUAUCAAACCAUACUCACCAUAUCAAUAAAAAGAGAAGUACUGAAAAUAGCUAUAAGAUCAUUGGUUACUAUAGAAAUACCAGCAUUAUUGGGCUCAUCAACGGCAACACAGGUGUCUUCCAGUGGGCUUGGAUCAUAGGCAGAGGCAAGAAAGGAAGCCAAUGCCAUGAAGGCCACGGUUACCAGGAAACUAACGCCUCUCUUCAUUGUUAGAGUACUGCCUCCAACAAUCACAAUCUUUAUCUUUAGGCGGGGAUAAGAAAUUUAGCAUGGAAAAGAUGUUAAUUUAUAGACCAGAGUCGAUGAGUUAGUCUUUGCAUAAACUCACCAAGUCUUCAAUGGGAAGUUUUUUCUUCUUUCUUUUUUCACUUUCGAGGACAAGCGGUUGCACCAAUACAUGUUGAUUUACGUAGGAUUAGUCAGUAAACAGAUCUUAACCAGAAUAUAAAGCAAUGUACAAUCAGGUGGAGGCAGGUCCAAUUUAAUAUCAAUCUGCAUGAUCCAAACGUUUACAUUGUUUCAACAUUUUUGUAUUAUGGUUUUUAUGAACUGUGUUUUUUUGAGUUGUAAGGAAGAAAAACUUAGGUUUAAAGUUCUAGCAUAGAAGAAAAAACCUGUAGAUUAAUUGAUUUUUUAAUCUGAACCAAACACAUGAUCAACUCCAUAAAAACAAGUGGAAAACAAGAAAAAAUGAAUGAUUUUUAAUAUGUAUUUGUGUGAGAAUGAUAGGUAUAGAUUUUUUUUUGAGAUAUACUGCCACAUAAUCUUCAUCCCUUCUAAAAAACGAGAGAGAAAAAAAAAAGAAUGAUUUUUCUGUUUGUAUCUAAGUGAGAAUGAGAUAUAGAAUUUCACUCCAGACGCAUUAAUUUUAUCUCAUACUGCCAUGCUAGACCAAAUCAGCCCUUAACGACAACCACACUGUUUUGUGGGGGGGGGGUUACUUUUGUUCCAUUAUAUUCACAGAAUCUUCAAAUCCAUUCUUUGGAUUAAUCUGCAUGAGGAAAUCUGUUACUGUUAGUGACGGAAACCUGUUAUUGUUAGUACCGGAGUCAACUGUUUGACUGGGUGGGUUCCAAUCAGAUCCUAAGGAAUGGGUCCAAAGGUCAUCCAUUAGAGUUAAUGGAAUUCAUUGUUGUUCUUGUGCCUUGAUGUGUGAGCCCAACACGCACAGAUGCAACUAGGGAUGGCAACGGGGCGGGUUUUUUCGGGUACCCGCCCUGCCCCGCCCCUAAUGGGAUGGGGUUGAAAUUUAAUAAAUGGGUUUUUAACGGGUAUAAGAUUUUUUUUUUUAAACCCGGGGCGGGUUCGGGUAUUGCCCCAUCCCGCCCCGCCCCGCCCCGCCCCGCCCCGCCCCGCCCCGUUUACAUAUAAAAUCAAUUUUAAAAUUUAAUUUAAUUUAAUUUAAAUUUUAAAAUUAAUUUUAUUUUACUAUUUUUAAUAUAUAGAUAAUAAAAAAAAAUUAAUAAAAUAAAUUAUAAAAAAUAUAAUAAUUUUAUUAUUUAUAAAUAUAUUUAUUUUAAUGUAAUUAAAAAUUUUAAAAGCAAUUUUUUUUUUUUUUAAAAAGGAGGCUAAACAGGGCUGGGCGGGGCGGGUUUGGGAAUUUCCCAUACCUGCCCCGCCCCGCCCCGCCCUGCCCCGUUUAAUUUUUUAAACGGGACGGGGAUGGGAAUUAUUUUUAAUAAACGGGGCGGGGUUGGGAUGGGGGCGACCCGUCCCGAACCUGCCCCGUUGCCAUUCCUAGAUGCAACAGUAUGAGUCAUGUGCAGGUAGAUUUGAAUAGACACAUCUUGGCAUCGGGAUGGCUUGAGCAAGGUGUAGUCUCCUACAAUAGGAAGCAUGGUGAACUGAUGCAUCACAUGAGCAAGACUCCUAUUGCAUGAGACAUACUCCUAUCACAUGAGACUUCUAGUCAAAGUGGGAGAUUGAGACCUAAUAUUGCAGGAAGAGAAAGGGACUCUUGACAUGAGAAGACUCCUAAUCGGGAUAGAAAACUAAAUCUUCAUGCAUAAGGAGAUAGAGAGAUGUGGCAUGAGAGUUUUAGAUUCAGUAGGACUUGGAGUCCUACUCAAAUUUGUCAUCUGUUAAGCUUGAGUCGGACGCAAACUAGGACUCAAAAGUUAGUCUCCUAGUAGGAUUAGGAUGGCUUGGUGCAACCUUCAUAAAAGGAGGGCGUGACCCAAUAGGAUGCUCCAAAAAUGGUACCUUACGUGAUAGGAAGGCCCCUUCAAAAGUCAUAUUGCUUGUACCACCAAGACACCACCACUAAGUAUUUGUCCAUAUCUUAAUCCAUGUGUGCAUGGAGAUGAACAUAAAUAUAUAUAGAAAAGAUAAAUAUUAGAAGACAAGUCUCCACAAAGAGACAAAAAUAUAGAAGGCUUCGGUCAACCAAUCCCGCUAUGCGUGGCAAAUGUUUCAGGGGACUGCGUAGGAUUGAACAGCCUUUGCUAGAGGGAAGAUCAAUCUAUGGGCGUGAAUAAAGAGAGAACUGGAGAAGUAUUGGAACAGGCGGGUCACCUCAGUUGACCAGGAAACAUGGCAUUAGUCAACGCAAACCUUGGCUUUCGAUCUCUACAUCGGUGCUGAAUAUUGUUGAACGGAAACACGUGGCCAGCUACAUUGGUUCUAGACAACAAAGGCUGCAACAAUUAACCUGAAAUUGAAAAUUUUGAAAUUUUUUUGAAAACAUAACAUCUUAAGAUGACUGGUAACCUUCUCUUAUUGGUUGGCUCUAAAUCAAAACCACUAUACAUGCAUUGUUCAAUGUAUAUAUGAUGUAGCAUUUUUGUGUUUUGUCUUUUACAAGUUGUAUAUAUUGGAAAAUUCUGACACCAUACAAAAACAUAGAAAAGCCACAAAUACCGCAACUUGCAUAUUUUCAUUUUAUGGCUGAAACUUUUCAAUGAAUCAUUAUCUUUAUUUCAAACUUUAAAAUUUUGAAAACAUAACAUCUUAAGAUGACUCGUAACCUUCUCUUAUUGGUUGGCUCUAAAUCAAAACCACUAUACAUGCAUUGUUCAAUGUAUAUAUGAUGUAGUAUUUUUGUGUUUUGUCUUUUACAAGUUUUAUAAAUUGGAAAAUUCUGACACCAUACAAAAACAUAGAAAAGCCACAAAUACCGCAACUUGCAUAUUUUUAUUUUAUUUUAAUUAUUUAUAGUUGAUUAGGUUUAUGGUAUGCCAUGUUGGAUGCUUUCAGAUUUUACAGAUCUAAGUUACUUUUAUUUUGAGAACGAAUAUUCCAUAAUUCAACCUUUUCCUUUUCUUGUUGGUAAUCAUGAUACAUAAAAUCUAGGAAUGCUAAACACAUCUUUUUUAAAAGUACUAUAUUGUAUUACAAUAGGAAAUGGCUUUUAUCAAAAGAGAAAUAUCCUUAAAUUGAUUAGGCCUAGCUCAUACUUUCAUCAACCAUAUGAUGACAUGAAAAAAAUCAAAGAAGAAAUAUGGGAAAUGGUACGAAAAGAGAUGGGUAGUAAUAACAUGAGACAACAACUUGUUUUACAACUAGUUGUAGCAGAAAAACCAAUGUUUAAAAUGAUAGAAGAGCCCCAACCACCAGAACCACCACUGAAACACAAGGUAUGCAUUUACUUACUAAUAAUACAAGAUUAAUAUAAGUGACAUAAAGCCUAUGUAAAUGAUAUUAUUUGUUGUAUUGAAGGUAAUUAAAUGUAAAUUAGCAGUGGAAAGAAAAGAAAAUGUUGUUCCAACUGGUACACUAAUAGAAGAAAAAGGAUCGAAUAGGUUGGUUGUAAUAAAUGCUGCACACAAGCCAGAUGCUAGACUCCCAUUUCCAAAUCCAUAUGAGAUUAUCAAUGUUGGGGAUGCUAUUGGCUUUGAGCUUGACUGGCCAACAAGCCUUGUCAUACUUGAAACUGAACAUCCUUAGGUAUGUCAUUUUAUGCCUAUAGUAAAUUUGAUUGUAACUUGGUAUUUUAUUGUUUAGGAGUAUAUAUAUCUAACAUUCCUUCCUUUUUCAUAGGUGUUGGAUAAAGGAAAGAAGAAGAUAGUGAAGACACCAAUUUUUUGAAAAUCUAAGCCUCAAAAUCAUUCGGUCAUUAAAAAUUUUCAAAAAUUUGUGGAUGGUUGUCUUGGUAAUGACAAGACAUACCCAAUACAGCUCCCCAUUUCACUUUUUGGUGUCGAAUUUCAAACAUAUAUAUCUAGAGAGGAUUGUGAAUACAUUAUUUCAUCUUUAGAGGUGUCAUCAAACUGCAUCUCCUUCUAUUUAUGGUGUGCACCUUUUAUUUUCAUUUGUUUUUAUUUUUUUAAAUAUGAGUUGCCCAUGUUGAACGAAAUUGGAUAUGACUAAUGAUAAUUUUCUUUUGGUGUUUUGAUACAAUAAUAGGCACAUGCAUGAUCAACUACAUAUUGCCAAAAAGGAAUCACAAUUUAUAUUUGUUAAUCCUUUUACAAUAUCACGAGCAAGCCUUAGUACUCAUCAAACAGAGAAAAGAGCACAAUUGUUGUCAAAACGCUUAAUGGAGUGCCAAGAUGCUAAAUAUGUUUUCAUACCUUACAACCCUGAGUAAGUGACAAAUAUUAUACUUUAAUUUGAGGUUUUAUGAUUGAUUUAUAUUUCUAAUUAGACGCUACUUUUGUUUUUAAUGUUUUAGCUUUCAUUGGGUCUUGGUGGUGAUUGAGCCAAGGAAAAUGAUAGUCCACUAUCUUGACCCUAUGCAUCACAAACUAUUUGAGGACUUAAAGAAUAUCGUAAACAUGUAAGUUCUUCCUAUUAUUUUUCAUAGUAUUAUUUUUUUUUUUUUAUAAAAAAUACAUUCAUCUCAAACACAUUGAACUUAUUUACAUAGGGCACUUCGAAUAUCUACAAAGAAAACAUCUAAAAGGGAGCCAUCUUGGCAACUAGUGCAGGUGACAUCCAAAAAAUUUUCUUUACACAUUAGCUUAUGCAUUUGCACCAUUUAUAUAUAUGAGUACUAAUGUUAUUUUAUAAUUGAUCGAUUAGUGUCCAAGACAAGAAGGAGGGUUCGAAUGUGGCUACUUUGUUAUGAGAUUCAUAAAAGAGAUAAUUUUUUAUCCUACAAUUAUUGCUUCAAAGGUAUUACAAAUUUAAUGAAUUGUACAUAGUUUUAGGCUUCCAAAUGUUAUGCAUUUUAAUGUUAUUUUCUUAUUUGAUUUCAGUUUGGUGAUAAAAAAACAUAUUCUCAAGUAGAAUUCGAUGAAAUUAGAGAAAAAUGGGCUACUUUUGUGCUACAACUAAUCAUGAAUCAUGUUGAUGCAUCAUGAUCACCAUGCAUGGUGAGUCCUUUAGCUACUACAUGAAUUUUUCCAUAGGUUCUUUGAAUAAUGUUUCUAUUUGAAAAAAAAAAAGAAAAAAAAAUAGUUCUUAGAUUUUUUUCAUUUAUGAUAACAUCGAUCCAUGUUUAUUUUCUUCAAUAAAAAUCUAUAAAACUCAUUAAACUAUGAAAUGCAAGUAUACACUUUUGGGAUGGUGGAAUGGAGAAUAAAAAGAAAGAAGAAGGCAACAAGAUUUUGGGUUUUUAAAUGCAACUCUUAUGUCAUACGUUGUAGGACAUAAAUGUUAAUUUAAUUAGUACUGAGAAAUUUAGAUUUUUAGAUGGGACUUUUAUGUCAUUUUAUAGUUAGCCGGUUUUAUGCUUAUGAAUUGGAGGUAUACAUGAAUCUUGGGAUCUUUAACAUUUCUAAAUCAUGUUUUGGUAUGUAUUCACUCUUCUUUUUUUAGUUUUGAUGGGUUUGAUAUGUUGGAUGUACUAUCUUUUUGUGAACAUUUGAUAUACAAAUAUUAUUAGAUGAUCAAUGUAUUAUGAGUUAUUCUAGAAACAUUACAGAAAAAUGAGUUAAAUAUAAUAUUAUUGUUAUAUUUAUGGACAAAAAAUAAAUAGGUUAAUCUUACUUAUUAAUUCAUAAGCAUUACAAAAAUUUAUAACUAAAAGCAAUCAUAUCUUCCACAAUAAUUUACAAUGAUGUGACACCAUUACUCAAAGGUGAUGCAUUUAAUAUGACAUUAUAAUUCAAAGAUGAUGCAUUUAAUGCGAUACCCUCUCAUCACUAGAAAUAUAUGGUGUCACUUCCGAAUGGGUCACCAUUUAUCUACUUUGGUGUCACUUCCAAAUACGUUACCAAUUGGUACCCUCUAUGGUAUCAGUGGAGAAGGUGACGCUAUGUUGUAGUGACACCCUAUGUUUAUGGUAACUCGUUAUAAAUGUCACCAUAUAUCUUUUUCCCUAUAGUGUAUAGCUCCAGUGAGGCUGUUCUCAGAGAAACAAAGGUAUGUCAAGUUUGUCAUUUGGCCUAGUACAGCAGGAAUGCUUCCAGUCAGAUUGUUAUCGUCCAAGUCUAUUGUCUCCAGGCUCCAAUAGCCUUGUAUGGAGGCUGGAAUAUUGCCUCCAAGCUUAUUACAACUCAUGUUUAUGAAUGUUAACUCAGAAAGCUCUCCAAUGGUAGCUGGGAUCCCUCCAUACAAGCUGUUGCCUUGCAAAGAGAGGGUGGUGAGAUGGGAUAGAUUGGAUAUGUAUGGUGAGAUAACUCCCUGUAAGCGCAUGUUUAUGAGCUUGAUUGACUCUAUUGAUAUUUUGUUGGUUGAGCAUGGAUUUAUGACUUAUAACGCACACGUGGAGGGUUGAAUUUCAUGAAAGAAAAUGAGGGUCAGAAAAAUAAUAAAUGGCAAGACAUUGAGCUUAUUGUGGGUAUGAUUGGGUACAAAUUCUUUUGUAUAUAUCUACUUGGGGUAUACAAUUGAAUAUUUAAUUUAGGAAGAUUCAAAAAAUUGUUUUCAAUGAAAUUCAAUAAUAAUAAUAAUAAUAAUAACAAUUGCCUGGAAAUUUAUUUAUUUAAUAAACAUUGUUUUGUCAUCAAAGUUAAUUUUUAAUAAAAUUAUCUAAAAAAAUGAAUUUUUAAAUAAAAUUCUAUUUCCUUAAUUAAAAUGGGCUAAAAAGUAAUUUUUGCAAAUUAAUGUCUUAAAUAACCUUUUCAUAAUAAUAGAAUGAGAAUCUUUUUAGCAAAUUGAACUUAUACAAAUCAUUUUCUUUUUGUAAAUAAAGUUUGUAAAAAAAUUAUUUUCUUUAUAAAUAAAAUCAAAUUGAAAUAUUUUUACAACUAAAAGAAUAUUUAGUUGAGCAAGUGAUGAACUAUUUUCUUGUUUAAGUAACCUUUUGUAAUGUUCCCCCAGCAUAAUGGUAGUACAAUAAGAGGGUUUAUUAUGUACUUCUUUCUAUAUGGACUUUGGGUAUAAUAAAAACAAUGCUUUCUCUUUCUCUCUCUCUCUCUCUCCCCCUCAGUCCACAGGUUUAGACCCUUAGCUUUACCCUGCACUAAGUCUUGAAAGCCAAAGAUUAUGCAGAAUCAAACUCUUAAAGUCUACAGCAUGAGUUGAGGAAAAAAGGAUGAGUAUUUAACGUAGUAGUUGAGGAAUGAUUCAAUGUUUGAAAUAUAAAAAAUGCAAUCCAUUGAACACUUAGCUGGCCUAUCUGCUUAUUAUUGUAUACAUAAAACAUAGACUAAUCCGAAGACUUCUAUGUGAUAACUUUAGAAUUUUCAUAUCCAAGGUUUUCACUUCUUUCUCAUCAGAAGACAAAGAUUGUAACUGUUGCAGAAAACCUAACAACCUAGUUUAUUUGUUAAGGUCCCUUUCUCUCAUAAAACAUAAAUAUAUUCACUAUCAAACACCAUAAUGAUAAUAAUAAUUAAUGAUCUUCUUUUUGCUGUAUAUACACUACUUUAGAGUUUGUUCAAUGUUUGGUUACCAAGAAAACACAAGGACUGAUCUGCUGCAUUAAAAGGUUAAUAUGUAGUUCUUCCAUUAGCUAGCCAUUUGGAACUAAGUCUUGUGGAGAACUUUUCAUAUUGGAGAUGGAUAUGAAAUUGGACCUGCCUCCACCUCAUUGAACUUCACUUUCAACAUAUGCAUUGAGAAUAUUUAAGUUAAGAUCAGUAUACUAACUAACCCUACAUAAAUUAACAUGUAUUGGUGAAAACACUUAUCCUUGUAAGUGAGAAAGCAAAAAAAGAAAAAAAAAAAAAGAAAAAAGAGAGAGACCUACCCAUUGAAGACUGUCUAUAAAUUGACAUGUUUCUCAUGCAAAAAUUUUCACCCCUCGCCUAAACGCAAAGAUUUGUAAUUGUUUGGAGACAGUACUCUAACAAUGGAGAAAGGUGUUAGUUUCCUAGUAACUGUGGCCCUCAUGGCAUUGGCUUCAUCUUUUGCCUCUGCCUCUGAUCCAAGCCCACUGCAGGACACUUGCGUUGCCAGACCCAAGAAUGCUGGUAUUUCUUUAGUAACCAACGAACUUGUCUCUAUUUUCACUAAUCUUUCCAAUUCAAUAUUGGGCACAUUAAUGCAGUAGCCAUUGCUGGUCUGAGCAGCCAAAAUCCAGGUGUAAUCACCAUAGCCAAUGCAGUGUUUGGAUCAAAUCCACCCAUCAAUCCCGAUUUCCUGGCAACGGCCUUCCAGUUGGACAAGAAGGUGGUUGAAUUCCUUCAAGCACGAUUCUAGUGGGGAAAUAGAGAAAAUGAAGAAGCUAUGAACCUUUGGUUUUCUUGCUUGAAUGACUAUUUGUGAUGUUCAAUUACCUCAUUACAAUAAGAGGGGUUUAUUACUUUAUUUUGUAGCUCUUUUGGUGUGGAUUUUGAUCCUGAUAUUAAAAUAAAGCAGUUUGUCUGUUAGGCAUCUUCUUCUGUCUCCAUCUCAAUAUUUGUCUUAAAAAAUCUCAUCUUGUGAAAAAACAACUGGAUAACAACUCUCAGUUGAUUGAUUAACCUGCAUGUGCAGAAUGUUUAUUAAGAAGGAAUACUUAGCUAGUUGUAAAACAGUACUACUGUUACUUCCAGCAUAAGUGUCAUGAAAAUUGUGAAGAAAGAAUGGAAAUGAAAACCCAGAAAUCUUAUGACAUCUACUGUAGACAAAUUAAUGUCUUAAAUAAUCUUUUCAUAAUAAUAGAAUGAGAAUCUUUUUAGCAAAUUGAACUUAUACAAAUCAUUUUCUUUUCGUAAAUAAAGUUUGUAAAGAAAUUAUUUUCUUUAUAAAUAAAAUCAAAUUAAAAUAUUUUUGUAAAUAAACUAAAAAUUAAUGUCCUAAGUAAAAAUCAUUUUUAUUGUCAAAUUGGAAUUUUUUGAAUAAAUUCUAUCCAAAUAGAAUUGAAUCAAAUCAUUUAUUGGAAAUAAAUAAAUAAAUUAAAAUCUUGAAAAAGUAAUAUUUAAAAUAUCUUUUUGUAAUCAAUUUAAUAAAUCGGUUUGUAUAAUUCUAAUGUCAUUUAUUUUGUACAUUUUUGUAAUUUAAUUUUAUCAUUAUUUUCUUGUAUAUUAAUUUGUCUCUUUAAUCUUGAUAUUCAUGAUUGAUCAAUUAACUGUCAUAAUUCAUUUCGUUUGUUUAGUAAAUAUUGUUAGUAUACAUGCUUAGAGGAGUAUUACGACUUAUUACUGUACCUUCCUGAUAGGCAACCUGACCCUUGAAUAUAGACUUGAUUUUACAAACAUGUCUUUUCUAAAUGAGGAGUUACACAAAAUUUUCUUUCUUAUUUUGUUCUCUUUUAAAAAAUAAAUUAAAAUAAGUGGCAACCCUAAUUUUUUUAUAAAAAAAAAAAAAAAAUCAAAUUUUCACAAUAAAAAUGAGUCUCACUGUCGAGUGGGAACACACGCAAAAAAUACGGGUCAACAUGUAUCCAAUUGAUUGGGGUCAAUGUCAAGAUGUGUGAUAAAGAUGCAAAUUUGAAUAUGAAUCCUGCCAUUGAUUGAAUCUUGAACUACCCGAUAGUGGUUGUAACAAGUGAGAUAAGUUGCUAAGGUUUGCGUUGAAAAGUUCAGCCAUGGAAAGUUACUAGUCAUCCAAAUAUGUAUAUAAAUCAAAGUGCACAUUCUAAAUCAAAGAAAUCAGCCUCCUUAAGCAAAAGACCUUACAAUUCUUAGAGUAUGUUUGGUAGUAAUUUUAGGAAGUGUUUUUAACUUUUUUAAUAAUUGAAAAAUAAGAAUUUUGAAGUAUUAAAAAAUGUUAGAAACACUUCCUAAAAUCACUAUCAAACGCACUUUUAAUGUAAUUUGCUCUAUCUACCACUUGAUGUGGAUGUUAAGAUUGAUAUCCUUGGUCAUUGCCUAUAAUCCUAUAUCUAUAAUUGCAAGAAGACAUACAUUGAAACAUGAAUACCCUUUCACUAUGUUUGGUUUAUGGAAAAUACUAAGAAAAGAAAAUGUUUUUCUUAUAUUUAGUUUUAUUAUGAAAAAUAAGAAAAAAUAAAAUAUAAUUAUAAUUAAUUAAAAUUUUAUGUAUUUUAAAAUUAUUUAAUAUUUAUAUAAUGAAGGAAAAUAAAUGAAACGAGCUUGAAAAAGUAUAUAAAAAUAAUUUAUUAAUUAUAACUUGUAUGCGACUAUUUUGUACUUUAAUCCCGUUUUUCUUUUAUCCUCUUGUAGGUACCUUGAUUUUAUAUAUUUGUAUCUUUAUUCAAUGAUUUAGAUUUCAUAUAUUUGUAUCUUUAAUUGAGAUUGCAAGAUCUGUACGGAUUCAGAUUAGGGAUGGCAACGCUAUAAGCUUAAGAUAAGUUACUCAUAUCCCAAUCCAUUAUAUUUAUUCGUAUAUGUUAUCAUCCCCACCAAAAAAAGAAAUUAAAUGGGAUGGGACGGGUAUAGGAAAUUCUCAUGCCUACCCCAUGCUAUCCCGUUUUUUAUUUAUUUAUUUUUCAAUUUUUAUUUCUAAAAUUUUAAGAAAAUUAAUAUUUUAAAUAUGUUAAAAAAAUUGAAAACUGAAAAAAGAAAUCAAUUAAAAGAACUUUUUAUUUAACAUUAUACAUAAUUAGGCUGAGGUAGGAUGAAACAAACUCAUACCCAAAAUCACCCCGAAUCAAUCUCGGGUUUUAAAAAAUUUCUCAAAUUCAAGAUGAGACAAAAUCAUAUCCAAAACUAUCUCGAAUCCAUCCUAGAUUUUAAAAAUUUUCUCAAAUUUAUCUAAACUCGUUUAUCAUUAUCUCAAAACGAGCCCAUUAAGGGUAGGACGAGUACUAAAUAAAAUUGGUAUAUUAUCAUCCCUAAUCAAGAUCCUAAAAUUUUUCUUUAUGAUAAUGAAAACAACAAUCAUAGUCGUCAUCUCUCUAUCAGUUUACUUGUUAGGUUUGAUCAAAUACACCUUAUGUGUUGCCUUUGGGCAACCUAGCUCUCUCAAUCAUUGUCUAAAGUUCGGGUGUUUGUUUAUUUUUUUAAUUCAUUUUGUCUUAAGUUUUUUAUUAUUAAAUAAAAUUUCUUUUUGUUACUUUAAACACCUCUAAUAAUUAUACUUUUUAUUUUUUAUAUUUAUAUUUAUCAAGUUUAUAACUGUAAAAUUUAUAAAAAUGUUAGUUUUUUGUUUUUAAAAAUAAUAAAAAGUGAUAUUUAAAGGGUCAAGUGGGCCAGCAUGAUGGCACGAUGGGUUGUUUCCUUAGGCCCACCACGACCCGCUCCUUUGGGCCAUGCCGGCCUGACUCGGUCUUUUGGCGCACUUGGCCACAGGCCAAAAUGGGUGGCUCGACCCAUUGGACACCUCUAGUAGUUACAUGUCUAGCAUCCAAACGUUAGACCAGAUGAGUUUUGUCAAACCCAACCCAUUCAUCCCCUUUGCCUCAUGUUGGCCACCCGGUUCGGACCAGCCUUGACAUGAACGGCAAGGUCCAAUGGAUUAGGUUGAUUUAGGGUCUCGAUUAUUUUUGUUUAAAUAAAUUGCAAAGAAAAAAAAAACUUGGUUUGGAUAAAUAAAUUUCAAUUGUUUUUAAAAUAGGUUUUUAUUUUAUUUUUUGUAAAAUUUUUUAUAAAUUCAAUUUAUACAAUAUUAAUUAUAUGUAAUUGAAGUCUUAUUAAAGAUUUUUUAAAAAAUAGUUUUUAAAUUAAAGAUAAAUUAAAAAAAAUCAUAAAAUAUGAAAUUAAUAUUAUAAUAAAAUCAUAAAUUAUGGUUUUUAUUUAAAAUGAUACUAUUUUAAGAUAUGAUUUAUUUAUUUUUAUAAGAAUGAAUAAUACUAAUUUUAAAAUAAUAAAAGGGUGAUAUAUUUUAUUUGAAAUAAAUUUAAAAAUAAAUAAAUUUUAUUUUUUUAAUACGUAAAUAAGUCAUGUUUUUCAUUAUAUCUACACCCGAGAAUUUAAACUUGACCCAAACUUCAACUAAAAAGACCUAUAUCCAACACAGUUAUUAGAGGUGUCCAAUGGGUCGUGUCGGGCCAACACAAUCCGAUGUUUAUCAGGCCAAUGCGUUGGCUCGACCCAUGCAAGCCAAAUAGGUGGCUUGACAUGGCCCAUAAGCCCAUGUGCUAAUCAUGUCGUGUUGUGCCAUGCCGGUGAGUCGUGCCCCAUGGGCACACACUUUAUUAAAAAUUUUAAUUAAUUUUUUUUAAUUCAUUUUGACUUAAGUUUUUUUAUUAUUAAAUAAAAUUUCUUUUUGUUACUUUAAACACCUCUAAUAAUUAUACUUUUUUAUUUUUUAUACACUUCUAAUAAUUAUACUUUUUUUUUAUAUUUAUAUUUAUCAAGUUUAUAACUGUAAAAUUUAUAAAAAUGUUAGUUUUUUGUUUUUAAAAAUAAUAAAAAGUGAUAUUUAAAGGGUUAAGUGGGCCAGCAUGAUGGCACGAUGGGUUGUUUCCUUAGGCCCACCACGACCCGCUCCUUUGGGCCAUGCCAGCUUGACUCGGUCUUUUGGCGCACUAGGCCACAGGCUAAAAUGGGUGGCUCGACCCAUUGGACACCUCUAGUAGUUACAUGUCUAGCAUCCAAACGUUAGACCGGGUGAGUUUUGUCAAACCCAACCCAUUCAUCCCCUUUGCUUCAUGUUGGCCACUCGGUUCAGACAUUGGGUUGAUUUGGGGUCUCGGUUCUUUUUGUUUAAAUAAAUUGCAAAGAAAAAAAAAACUUGGUUUGGAUAAAUAAACUUCAGUUGUGUUUAAAAUAAGUUUUUAUUUGAUUUUUUGUAAAAAAAAUUAUAAAUUCAAUUUAUACAAUAUUAAUUAUAUUUAAUUGAAGUCUUAUUAAAGAUUUUUUUAAAAAUAGUUUUUAAAUUAAAGAUAAAUUAAAAAAAUUCGUAAAAUAUGAAAUUAAUAUUAUAAUAAAAUCAUAAAUUAUGAUUUUUAUUUAAAAUGAUACUAUUUUAAGAUAUGAUUGAUUUAUUUAUUUAUUUAUUUUGAUAAGAAUGAAUAAUACUAAUUUUAAAAUAAUAACAGGGUGAUAUUUUAUUUGAAAUAAAUUUAAAAAUAAAUAAAAUUUAUUUUUUUUAAUACGUAAAUAAGUGAAGUUUUUCAUUAUAUCUACACCUGAGAAUUUAAUCAAGGAUAUAGUAUUUUGAACUAGUUUUGAGUCAUUCCUAUAAGCUUCAUUCAGUCAUUAUGGUUUAGACAAUUGAUAAUUAAUCUGUUGGCAUAAUUGAUUCUGCAAAACAGUAUCCUGAAUUUAGUAUCGAGGGAGGCAGAAACACAGCGAGAGAGAGAGAGAGAGAGAGAUGAUGCUUAACAAACAGACUGCAGACUGCUUUAUUGUAGUAAUAUGCCCAAAGUCCACACUAGAAGAGUUACAACCAGACCCUCUUAUUAUACCAUGUUUGUUACAAUGAGGGAAUUGAACAUCAUGAAUCGUCAUUCAAGCAAGGAAAUCAAAGGUUGACAGCUUAUUCUUUUUCUAUAUUUCCCCACUAGAAUCGUGCUUGAAGGUAUUCAACCACCCUCUUGUCCAACUGGAAGGCCCUUGCCAGGAAAUCAGGAUUGAUGGGUGGAUUUGAUCCAAACAUUGAACUGGCUAUGGUGAUUACACCUGGAUUUUGGCUGUUAAAAACGGCAAUGGCUACUGCAUUAGUGUGCCCAAUGUUGACUUGGAAGUGAAUGAGACUGAAAGGGAACACAAAAACAUCCCCCUUGUUCAGGACUUUGCUAAUGAAGCGGUGUUCAGGGUUGGAUGUGAUAAAGCCAACAAAGAGUUUUCCCUCCAAGACAAUGAAGAUCUCACUGGCACGAGGGUGAAAGUGAGGAGGGUUUUGACCAUUAGGUUCAUAAUCGAUACGAGACAGUGACACCCCAAGAGUGUUUUCUCCUGGUAAUUGAUCAACAUUUAUAAGAUUGACAAUUGAGCCCACAUAAUUUGAUGUGUUUCCUGGAAUAUUCAGCCCUUGAUACAAGAAAUCCUCGGCCACGGUCAGGUUUGGGUUCUUGCAGAACUUCCCAUUUACAAAUACUGCAUGAAGAAGGAAAAAAGAAAAGAUGUAUCCUUAGUAUCAAACCAUACUCACCAUAUCAAUAAAAAGAGUAGUACUGAAAAUAGCUAUAACAUCAUUGGUUACAAUAGAAAUACCAGCAUUCUUGGGCUCAUCAACUGCAACACAGGUGUCUUCCAGUGGGCUUGGAUCAUAGGCAGAGGCAAGAAACGAAGCCAAUGCCAUGAGGGCCACAGUUACCAUGAAACUAACGCCUUUCUUUAUUGUUAGAGUACUGUCUCCAACAAUCCCAAUCUUUAUCUUUCGGCGGGGAUAAUAAAUUUAGCCUGGAAAAGAUGUUAAUUUAUAGACCAGAGUCGGUGAGUUAGUCUUUGCAUAAACUCACCAAGUCUUCAAUGGGAAGUUUUUUCUUCUUUCUUUUUUCACUUUCGAGGACAAGCGGUUGCACCAAUACGUGUUGAUUUACGUAGGAUUAGUCAGUGUAUAGAUCUUAACCAGAAUAUAAAGCAAUGUACAAUCAGGUGGAGGCAGGUCCAAUUUAAUAUCAAUCUGCAUGAUCCAUACGUUUACAUUUAUAGUAGAGCUUUCUGCUCUUUUAGUAGUGUAUAGACAAGCAAAUAGAAGAUUACAGAGUAGGUGCCAGCUUGGAGUAUACAAUGACCCGCCCAUAUCAAACAUGGUUACUCCAUGAGGCUUGUGUAGGUUCAGUUUAAUGAGUAUCUAUAUAGCUUAAUUCACCAUUCAAAGUGUUGAGAGAUUGGCUGAUGAGAUUAAAUAUGUAGCCAAGUUCUGAGUUUCUAGCUCAUGUGCCUUCCACUGAGUGAAAAGUCCUUGGAUAAGCUCUGGCUUUCUGCUAUACGCUCAUUAGGCUUUCCUCAGUUACAAAAGCUUUGACUAUGAUUUUUACGCUUGUAGCCUUCGCUGUCUGAGCGGUUUCUAAGACUUUUUAAUUAGUUGCUUCUAAGUUGUCUUUAACAAGCAAGUCCGUAUUUUCUGGCGAGAAGCAAGAAAAUACCAAUUGAUUAGAUGAAGUCCUUCGACUAAUCUAUGCCCUAUACGUAAGGUAAUUAAGCAGUUACACUUUCCAAAUCUUCAAUGGAUGUCAUUUUUCGAAUUGAAAGGUUGAACUUCCUCAAGUUAUGCUCUAGACUCUAGAAUGAAUUCUACAUAAUCUUCGGUUUUAGGCCUUAUUCCUAGUUUAAAGCUAAGAAGUAAACCAGUGGACAGACCAUCUGUAAUCAGAUUGUGAUUAGUGUCAUGACCCAUUAGAUCUUUAUAAGAAGUUGGCCAUGGUUCAAAGUCACGGUAUCCGUCACCAAAUCGGUAAGUCCCGAGGUACAUCAGUUUCAACGUCACGGAUCGAUAUCGGAUGAUACGCAAAAAUUUAUAGUUUAAAAGCUCAAAACAAUUUAAAAAGAUUACAAAAAUAAAUACAAAUAAAUAAAGUUAAAAAUUAAGAAAUAAAAUUUUAUUAUGUAUAAAAUUAUUCAAAUUAUGAUAAAACAUACCUUUGUAAUGAUUUAUAAAAAUAUUAAAACUAUAAAAAAAAUAAUUUAAUCACUUAAUAUUAAAUAUGCAUCAUUAAAGAUGAAAAUAAUAAAAAGUGAAUUUAUAGUUUAUAAUUUUUUUAAAAUUAAAUAUUUUGAAUUUUUUAAAAAUAUUUUCAAUAUUUAAAAAAAUACAUCUAGGAAUCAUCUUUGAAAAAAAUAAACAUCAUUUUUCUUAUCAAAUGUAUUCUAAAUAAAACAAUUAUAAAAAUAAAGAAUUUUUAUUUGAAUGAGCAUAUUUGAAUAUAAUAUAUUUUUUCUAUACAUCUAUUCAUUUGAAUUGAAUUUUUAUAUUAAUAUUCAUUUCCUUUUUUAUUCAUGUAAACCUAAAUAUUCAUUAUUAAUGUACCAUAAUCCUAAUUCCCAUCAAAUUUGCAUUAUCCAUUUAAAUACAAUUAUUCACAACAUAUUCAUUAACUACUUAAAAAACAAAUACCCACCCAAAUUUGUAAUCCUAUCAAAUACCCAUAACCCAUUGGCAAACACGUAUUUCCUUUUUUUGGCACAAUACCCAUUUUCUCUCUAAAACAACACUUUGAGCUCUCUAUUUCUUUGCACAAUACCUAUAUUUGAAGGCUAAAAAAAUAGGCCUACAAAGAUACAAAAGGAUGGAGCUAGAAAUACAAGGAUGAAGAUGCACAAGGUUUGAAGACUCUAUACUCUCCACACUUCUUCACUUUCAUAUGUUUCCAUCAUCUUCUUUCAUCCACUAUUUUCGCUCCUAUAUUACCAUUUUUUCCCAUCACCCAUCACCCGAAGAGCUUAGUUUGAAUAUAAUCUUGGGGUUAUCUCAAAGUUUCUUUGUGAUUCAACAAGUUUUUUCAUGAGUCAACCAAAUAUUAGACUCAGGUAUCGGUUCAGUACUAGUCAUGGACAAGAUUUUAACCCUGUUUGAGCUCUCUAUUUCUUUGUACAAUACCAAUUUUUAAAGGCUCACAAAAUAACCCUAUGAAAAUACAAGAGGAUAGAGAUGCAAAUACAGGGAUGAAGAUGCAAAAGGUUUGAAGACUUUGAACUCUCCAUAUUCUUCGGUUUCAUGGGUUUCAAUCUUCUUCUCUCAUCAACUAUUUCUGCUCCAAUAUUACCAUUUUUUUCCAUCACCCAUGACCUGAAGAGCUUAGCUUGGACAUAAUCUUAGGGAUAUCUCAAAGUUUCUUUGUGAUUUAACAAGUUUAUUCAUGAUUCAACCAAAUAUUGGACUCGGAUAUCGGUCCGAUACCGAUCAUGGCUGAGGCAUAUAUGAAUCGGUUGAGUCGUACCGGUCUCGACCGAGAUUUUGAACCUUGUUUGAGCUUUCUAUUUCUUUGCACAAUACUAAUUUUUGAAGCCUUAUAAAAUAGCCCUACGAAGAUAUAAGAGGAUGAAGAUGCAAAUACAAGGAUGAAUAUGCAAAGGGUUUGAAGACUUUGAACUCUCCAUACUUCUUCACUACCAUAGGUUUCAAUCUUCUUCUCUCAUCCACCAUUUCCAUUCCAAUAUUACCAUUUUUUUUUCCAUCACCCAUCACUCAAAGAGCUUAGUUUGGACAUAAUCUUGGGGUUAUCUCAAAGUUUCUUUAUGAUUCAACAAGUUUAGUCAUGAGUCAACUAAAUAUUGGACUUGGGUAUCAGUCUGAUACUAGUCAUGACCAAGAUUUUGAACCCUUUUUGAGCUCUCUAUUUCUCUACAUAAUACCCAUUUUUGAAUGCUCACAAAAUAACCCUACAAAGAUACAAGAUGAUAGAGAUGCAAAUACAAGGAUGAAGAUGCAAAGGGUUUGAAGACUCUAAACUCUCCAUACUUCUUCACUUUCAUAGGUUUCGAUCUUCUUCUCUCAUCCGCCAUUUCAACUCCAAUAUUACCAUUUUUUUCCAUGACCUAUCACUCGAAGAGCUUAUUUUGGACAUAAUCUUGGGGUUAUCUCAAAGUUUCUUUUUUAUUCAACAAGUUUAUUCAUGAGUCAACCAAAUAUUGGACUUGAGUAUUAGUUCGGUACUGGUCAUGGCCGAGGUGGAUAUGACUUGGCCAAGUCAUACUGGUCUCAAUCGAGAUUUUGAACCCUAUUUGAACUCUCUAUUUCUUUGCACAGUACCCAUUUUUUAAGGCUAACAAAUUAGCCCUACGAAGAUAUAAGAGGAUUGAGAUGCAAAUAAAGAAAUGAAGAUGCAAAGGGUUUGAAGACUCUAAACUCUUCAUACUUUUUCACUUUCAUGGGUUUCAAUCGUCUUAUCUCAUCCACCAUUUUCGCUCCAAUAUUACAAUUUUUUUCCAUCACCCAUCACCCAAAAAGCUUAGUUUGAACAUAAUCUUGGAGUUAUCUCAAAGUUUAUUUUUUAUUCAACAAGUUUAUUCAUGAGUAAACCAAAUAUUGGACUCAAGUAUCAAUUCAAUAUCAAUCAUGGUUGAGGCGGAUAUGACUCGAACAAGUUGUACUUGUCUCAACCGAGAUUAUGAACCCUAUUUGAGCUCUCUAUUUAUCUCUACAAUACCCAUUUUUGAAGGCUUACAAAAUAGUCCUACGAAGAUACAAGAUGAUGGAGAUGCAAAUACAAGGAUGAAAAUCCAAAGAGUUUGAAGACUCUGAACUCUCCAUAUUUUUUCACUUUCAUGAGUUUUGAUUUUCUUCUCUUAUCUGCCAUUUCCGCUCCAAUAUUACCAUUUUUUCCAUUACCCAUCACUUGAAGAGCUUAGUUUGGACAUAAUAUUAAGGUUAUCUCAAAUUUUCUUUGUGAUUCAACAAGUUUAUUCAUAAGUCAGCCAAAUAUUGGACUUGGGUAUCUGUUCGAUACUAGUCAUAUAUGGUAGAGGCGGAUAUGACUCAACCAAGUUGUACUAGUCUCAACUAAGAUUUUGAACCCUAUUUGAGCUCUCUAUUUCUCUGUACAAUACCCAUUUUAAAGGCUCACAAAAUAGCCCUACCAAGAUACAAGAUAAUGAAGAUGCAAAUAUUACUCAUUGAAUAUCUAGCAAUAAUUGGUUUAUUUUUUAUUUUUGAAUUAUUUUUUAAAAUUAAAUAUCUAUUAAUGAAACAAAAAUACUAAUGAUUAAUACCAAAAAGUGCUAUUUUGUAGAUCUAAUUAUAAUGGUUUUAAGCACCUUUGAGUAGUAAUCAUAUUCAUUUAACCCAAUUAAUUCAUUAAGGUCCUUAGUAAUUGGUUUUAACCAUUUUGUGGCAAGUUUACAUGUUUUUAUCAGCUUAUGAAUCAAUUCAAGCAUGCCAAAUGAUGGAGGAGCUACUUAGACAAGUUAAAGCAAGGAUUUUGGAAGUUUACAGGCUUGAAUUUCAAGUGGAAACACGAGCACAAGCAAUGGAGAAGAGGAAAACAGAGUGAAGAAAACAGAGGACAGCAGCUGCAGUCUUCUUUUGCACUUUUGGAGCACUUCCCGAAGUCCAUUUUCUACAUUCUAUAUACCAUUUCAAAGCUCAGGAAGUCAAUAAUCCAAUGCUUCAAACGGUGCGUGAUUCGGAGUUGAAACGAAGGAGUUACAGCCAUUGCAAUCAGAUCACUCCAAGCUGCUGCGAAAUCAGCCUUUUGUUGCGAGAAUUUCGCAGCCUUUUUGUACAGUGCAAUGGAAUUCCUCCUGAAGCUACCCGAUAUAUGCUGCAAGCUGGAAUGCUGAGAACCUCAAGGUGGAAGCCAACUUCGCAGCCCUGCGAAGAUAGCUUGGUGUUGCGAAAUUAUUUCGCAACCCUCUUGAGUGUCUGCGAAAUCUCGCAGACCUCGUUUUCACCUGCGAAAUGUCCUUAGUGCUUCCUGAUAUUUGUGCACCGACUCUUUUGGAUAUUUUUCUUCAGAUAUUUUUGUAUAAAUUUCCAUUUUCUCCUUGUUUUCAGCCACUCAUGUAAUUCCUUAGCUAGGAAGUNNNNNNNNNNNNNNNNNNNNNNNNNNNNNNNNNNNNNNNNNNNNNNNNNNNNNNNNNNNNNNNNNNNNNNNNNNNNNNNNNNNNNNNNNNNNNNNNNNNNGAGAGAGAUUUAGUGUUUGAACCCAUUAAUGGGAAGCAUCUGUACAACACCGGUUGGAGAAGGAACUAUAGGUUAAUUCUCUAAGGCGAGGAAAAAAAACAAGUGACCGGAACUCCCUUUUUGUAUGAGGAACCUGAGCCUAGUGAUCUGAACUCCAAGAAACACUUUUCUUUGUAAGUAAAAUCAGUUACUAUUUUUGGUUAGCUUAAAACCAAACCUUUUUCAUUCAAACAUCUUUAUGUUUUCUUAAGCUAACCUUGAAAUGAAAAGGCACCAAUUCAGCUUUGAAUUAAUAUCAUUUGUGAAGUGAAAACCCAUCCCAGUGGACGAUCCUAGAGCCACUAUGCUAUAGUAGCUUUGUCUUUGCUACCCUAGUAUAUGGUGUAAUAGGUUAUAAAUUUUGUUGAUUACUCCCUCAAUCAAGGAGCACCAGCUGGACACGAAUCAGCUGAGACACCAAUUGGGCACGAAUCAACUAACUCUUUCUUGAUUUUCUUCUCUCAUCCACCAUAUCCGCUCCAAUAUUGCCAUUUUUUCCAUCACCCAUCACCCUAAGAGCUUAGUUUGGAUAUAAUCUUAGGGUUAUCUCAAAGUUUCUUUUUUAUUCAACAAGUUUAUUCAUGAGUUAACCAAAUAUUGGACUCGGGUAUUAGUUCGGUACCGGUCAUGGCCAAGGUGAAUAUGACUUGGCCGAGUCAUACCAGUCUCAAUUGAGAUUUUGAACCUUGUUUGAACUCUCUAUUUCUUUGCACAAUACCCAUUUUUUAAGGCUAACAAAAUACCCUAACAAAGAUACAAGAGGAUUGAGAUGCAAAUAUAGGAAUGAAGAUGAAAAGGGUUUGAAGAGUCUAAACUCUUCAUACUUUUCCACUUUCAUGGGUUUCAAUCUUCUUCUCUCAUCCACCAUUUUUGCUCUGGUAUUACUAUUUUUUUUCCAUCACCCAUCAUCCAAAAAGCUUAGUUUGGACAUAAUCUUGGAGUUAUCUCAAAGUUUCUUUUUUUAUUCAACAAAUUUAUUCAUGAGUCAACCAAAUAUUGGACUAGAGUAUCGAUCCGAUACUGAUAAUGGCUGAGGCGGAUAUGACACGAUCAAGUCGUACGAGUCUUAACCGAGAUUAUGAACCCUGUUUGAGUUCUCUAUUUCUAUACACAAUACCCAUAUUUGAAGGCUCACAAAAUAGUCCUACGAAGAUACAAGAUGAUGGAGAUGCAAACACAUGGAUGAAAAUCCAAAGCGUUUGAAGGCUCUGAACUCUCCAUAUUUCUUCGCUUUCAUGGGUUUCGAUCUUUUUCUCUCAUCCACCAUUUUCGCUCCAAUAUUACCAUUUUUUCCAUUACCCAUCACGCAAAGAGCUUAGUUUGGACAUAAUAUUAUGGUUAUCUCAAAUUUUCUUCAUGAUNNNNNNNNNNNNNNNNNNNNNNNNNNNNNNNNNNNNNNNNNNNNNNNNNNNNNNNNNNNNNNNNNNNNNNNNNNNNNNNNNNNNNNNNNNNNNNNNNNNNAAGAGCUUAGUUUGGACAUAAUAUUAUGGUUAUCUCAAAUUUUCUUCAUGAUUCAACAAAUUUAUUCACAAGUCAACCAAAUAUUGGACUUGGGUAUCAGUCCGAUACUAGUCAUGGUGGAGGCAGAUAUGACUCGGUUGAGUCGUACCAAUCUCGACUAAGAUUGUGAACCCUGUUUGAACUCUCUAUUUCUUUGUACAAUAUCCAUUUUGAAGGCUCACAAAAUAGCCCUACCAAGAUACAAGACGAUGGGGAUGCAAAUAUUACUCCUUGAAUUACUGGCAAUAAUUAGUUUAUUUUUUUAAUUUUGAACUAUUUUUUAAAAUUAAAUAUUUGUUAAUGAAACAAAAGCACUAACUCUUUCUUGAUUUGGAGUUUAUUUGUUGAAUGAAAAUUUUUGGAUAAUUAUGGUUUUGCGCAUAAGAGAAAUAAUGAACCAAUUGUUGUUCAUAAAUUCAUAAAAUUGGAUUAGCAUUUGAGUUUCAAAUUAUUUUUAAAAGUGCUUACAUUCAUUAAUGAAUCUAAUACACUAAGUUCCUCUUUGGGAUGAAUUUUGAAUGAGGCUAAAAGCUUUUCCUAACACUAGAAAGCAAUCUUAAAAAAAUGGUUGAAAAUCACUUUUAAAAAUCUAAAUAAUGACAUGAUUCUUCGAACUAUCACAUUUUUGUUAUAUUAUACAUUGCCAAAACAUUCUCUGAACAUAUUUUAAAAAAAAUUUAUAAUAUGCAUUUCCUACAAAGCAAUCUUAAAAAUAUAUAUAUAUAUAUAUCAUCAAUAAUUAGAUUAUGGUGUGAUAGUGAUUUUAGCAAUUGUUUUUAGCCUUUUUAAUACUUUAAAAAUAACAGCAGUGAAUUUAGGAAACGUUUCUAGCUUUUUUAACGCUUGAAUGAUAUAAAUUUUCAAGUAUUAGAAAAGUUAAAAAUGUUUCCUAAAAUCACUACUAAACAGGCUUUAAUCAGUAGUAGUAAUUAAUUGGUAUUGAAUAACUGUAAUGCAGUUUCCUGAAUGUAGUAUUGAGGGAGAGAGAAACAGAGAGGAAGAGAGAGAUGCUUAACAAACAAAUUGCUUUAUUGUAGUAAUAUGCCCAAAGUUCACACCAGAAGAGUUACAACUAGACCCUCUUAUCAUACUAGGAUUGUUAUAACGAGGGAAUUGAACAUCAUAAAUAGUCAUUCAAGCAAGGAAAUGAAAGGUUGAUAGCUUCUUCUUUUUCUAUAUUCCCCCACUAGAAUCGUGCUUGAAGGUAUUCAACCACCUUCUUGUCCAACUGGAAGGCCCUUGCAAGGAAAUCAGGAUUGAUGGGUGGAUUUGAUCCAAACA
RNAcentral lists this long non-coding RNA (44863 nucleotides) under Vitis vinifera (wine grape). RNAcentral describes it as "long non-coding RNA (VVIN_LNC004463)". The record is from RNAcentral. Lineage: Eukaryota; Viridiplantae; Streptophyta; Magnoliopsida; Vitales; Vitaceae.